This 46733-nucleotide long non-coding RNA is filed under the name Triticum aestivum (bread wheat). RNAcentral's name for it is "long non-coding RNA (TAES_LNC005548)". Lineage: Eukaryota; Viridiplantae; Streptophyta; Magnoliopsida; Poales; Poaceae. The record is from RNAcentral.
AGCCAAGACAAGUCAUGCCACGGCGACAUUGCGCCACCGUGGAUAAGGUUGAUGAUUACUGCUGCUGCUGCUGAAGAAUGCUAGUACUACUAGUUUGUUUGCUUCAUGUUUAAUUAUGGUAAUCCUAGACCAUCAUUAGUACUUAUUUUGUGAUUGUAAUCUUCCUAUUGUCCUAGCCAGUGGAUAUGGAUAAGAACAAUGUCAUUGAUGUGUGGCGGAGCACAAAUGGAUUGUGCCUAUCUUUGGGUUGAUUUGUAAUAACAUCUUGACAUGGAACCUAUAUAUGUUUGCAGUUAUUUAGCUAUGUGUUACUUUGGCAAGCGUUUGAUUGAAUUUUAUGAAAUGACCCAAGUUGAUUGUUGAGUGCUGAUUAUGUUACGUUUGUAAGUAUGAUAUACCCCUUUUGCCAAAAGUAGAUUACCCAGAGAUUGUAUCUGAAAGUAUCAAUGCACUCCUUUGUACCUGAUAUAUGUGCUUUGAACCUGUGAUGAGCGGAGAAUUGCUAUAAGGCCAUAGUGGAGACGCCAUGCUCUAGCAUUUGCUGCUGUACGGAUACUUUUGAUGAAAAAAUUGCGAGCCUGAUCUUUUCUUGGAAAUUUGCGUUGAUUGUGAUUAGCUUCUGUUUAGAACACGCAGUUUUCAUUCAUAAAAAAUUAGUAUUAGAUUGGUCCAUUAAGGCGUCAAGCUUCUAGUUUGCUUCUUAACAAAGUGAGUCGAUCAUUGGUUUUAGCUCGUUAAACUUAAUGAGCUUACCUAACAAGCUACCGAAUUGCACGACCAAAUUUUAAGCCCCUAAUACAACACAACACACUUGUUAGGCUCCUAAUACAGCACAAUGCAUAUUUUUUUAUCUUAAAUGACAACGUUUAAUGGCAUCUCGGGCUUUCUAUUCCAUCGAAUCGACUCAUUCCAGACUAAUAACUAGGAGGACAUCUCCUCCCAUGUCACUAUCUCCCUUGAUAAAAUCAUAGCCGCACCACUGUCCUGUAGGCCCUUAUACCUUGCACCCAAAGCAAAAGGGGUAACCCGUACUAACAAGAGCUCAUGAACUUUAAACAAAUAUAGUUGGGCAUGGUUUCGCUCAUUAAGCAUAUCGAGCUUAACAAGCCGAGCAACUAGUUAAUCCACCCCUAGGUGGAUGUACAUGCCUUGCGUGUCUGAAGUAGUGGCACGAUGGUGAAGGAGGUUGCGCCGUGUGGAAUAUGGCUCUCUUGGUUCCUCACUAGUCAUGGAGCUAGUGAUUUUUGGAUUUGAUUGAUUGAAUCUUUACACUAGAUUACUCAUUCCUUCAAUGACCCUUUGCUCUUGUUGGUGAUGGUGGAAUAUUGUAUAGAUCGUGUAUGAGGGUUUCUUCUUCCUUGGUGGUUUUUUUGGCGUCAUUUAUGAUCUUGGUUUUUGACACAAUUGAUGCUUCUGUCUUUUCGUGUGUUGAAGCCAAAUGUACAUAUAUGAUUUGAUCUCCCCAGCCAACCUAAAAUCGGAUUUUGCAGCCGAUGGUGGAGUGGUGGAGCGCAUCGAAUUCCGUUCUAUUGAGUGUUGACAGUGUAGAAAAGAAGACUUUCCAUAGUGUGUCGGGCUUGUCAUUCAGUUGUAAAUUGGUAUUACCCUAAAAAAUGUUGUAAUUUGAUGUCUUGUAAUGUGGAUCCGCAAGACAAUUGCUUUUUUAGGGGGAAAAUGGCACCUUAAUUUCCUUUUAUUUCAUUUUAGGAGUAUCCUACUUCGAUUUUUUAGCGGAAUUUCUACUUUCUUAUGGACAUGCCAAUUAAGGCUUUUUUUGGGGGUAGAAUUCAACCAGUGCCGCAAGAGACACGAACGAGGUGGCCCAUGAAUUAGUAGGUUUGGUUCAUUGUUGGUCGACGAAAUCCCAUUACAGCUUAACUUGUGUAACUGUUGUUUGAAGGUUGAAGCCAUGAUGCCUUCUCUGAAGAAAAAUAUCCUUACUUUCCUAUGGGCUCUAAACUGGGUACUUCUACUGUUCAGGCCGAAUUUCAGCUGGGCCAAACCCAAAUUUAGUUCCGGCUAAUGAUUGACAAGAACUGUAGCAACAAUAAUGGAGGUUUUCCUUAAAAAACAAUAAUGGAGGUAAAGCAAAUAACGAUAUCUUCGGUCUUAAAAAUCAGCUGGUAUAUAUCCUGAGCCGCCACAGGAACCCAAUCUCUUUGUUUUUUUGUCAAUAGCUGUAGCAAAAUUUGCCACAGCAAAGACAGUGACAUACGAUUUAUGUAUAUACUUUCAAAGAUGGAAAAAAAAUAAACUGAUACUUAUUCACAUUGCCUUUGAUUCCUCCAUAUCCAGUGUGAUUUCACUGGCAAUCCCGGGGGAUACAGACAAUCUGAUCACAGGUCACCCUGUAGUAGUAGUUUCAGAAAAGUUUUCCCUUGCAGCGCCCAUGUACUACAUACGUACACAAUGAUUGAGAAAAUGAUCAUGGGGCUAUUCAUCGUUUGAUGUACCCCUUCCUUGCUAGUCACACAACCACCGUGUGCAGAAGAGCUUCAUGCCCGCGGGAAAUGAGCAACUAUCUCAUGCUGUCCGUGCCGAAGCAGAGUGUCGUGUCGUAAGAGGACCCCCCUCCUCCUCCGGUAACGCCUUCCAUGAGCGCGAAUCGCAUGUCCUCCGACGGCUUCCAAUGCCGCUUCCUCUGGUUGACGAACCAGUUGUUGAUCUGCCUCGGGUCGAGGCCAGUCAUGGCGGCGAGCCUCACCUUAUCAUCUUCCUGCGAACAUCACGGUAUCUAUCCAUGAAUGAUGAUCGUCGAUCAAGGUUUGAUGCAGCAGGGGUGGGAGAUGUCAUUGCCGGAAGAAAAAGCGCGAGGCGCGGCAUGUACCGUCGGGUAAGGCCAGCGGUAGUGUGUGUUCCACCAGUCCACGAGAGCAAGCCGAGCAUCCUUGGGGAGCUUCCCUUUCUUCCUCUUCUUCAGGAACUCGGUCCGGAGGUGGCUGAGGCAGCCGCUGUACUUGUUGAGCAGCAUCUCCCUGAGCUCGCGGUCGGCCAACCGGGAGCUCUGCUCUUGCAUGCCGGCGUCGGAUGCACCGGUGUCCCCUGAGCAUGGCUCGUCCUCCGAUGACUCCACCAUUUCAUCUUGCAUCAUGGAGACACCCCAAAUCAGACAUGCAUUUAGACAAAAUGAUGUGUGGCAUCAGUAUCAGGUUGCAUGGCAGUAAUACAGUGCACAGACAGAACUAGAACAGGACAACAUCGAUAAGCAGACAAGUGCAGAUAAUCACUUGGUUGCACAGAAACUACACGCACAGAAGCACAUUCAGAACCCAAAGGUGCUGCUGGAUACUUAACAAACAACAAUAUGGGAAUCUGCAUGCAGAAAAUCUUCUGGAAAAUGUCUCAAGAAAAGACGAUCGAAGGAGCUUCAGAACUGGAAGUUUCUCCAUAAGAAUGUGCUAUGCAGUGUAUCUAGAAAUAUACUUCUAAAAGAGCACUGAAAUGAAUGAAACUUGAUUAUCGAUUGGUUAAUAAAUCUGUAGUAGCAAGUAUUAGUCUGAAAACCCAGUCAGUCUAAGAAAAUGGGAUGAAAAUCAGGCCACUUUUAUCUAUCAACCCUACAUGAAUGAACAAUGGUUCACAGCUAGAGCCAAACUGAUUAGUUCAGCUUGUGCUUCGGGAAACAGAGACUAUAUAAGCAUUCUUUCGGCAUGACUGACGUUUUGUGGAGCUAUUCCUACAGCUGCUGUCUCAGUAGGAAACACUUUCUGUACUACAAUCAAGUCUAUGUAGGCAAAUAGCUCUUUUAUAUUGUGAGUGAGCUUCAUUAGUACAAGUCGUAACUUCUGAAGCUUAAGUUCAGGAAAAAGUAACCUUUUUUCGAACCAACUGAGGCAUCAGAAAAAACAACUUCAACCUAUCUAAUUUAUGGAUGCAACUAUGGUUACGAUUGGAAUUUGUAGUGCCUGUUUGGUCAUCAGUUGAGACUUCAAGAAUUUGCAAAGCCAAAAAGAUAAGAGGCAUUUUGUGUAUUAUCUAGGCUUAUUUGAUUUUUAACAUCUUCGACCUUAAGAAGCGGUUUACGAAAGAGAGAGAGCUCAGUGUCCAAUUAGAAGCACUCGGAACUACAGCUUUGUUUAAUUUGACACAUAGCGGCUGGGCUCAUACAAACCACAUCGGGGUUGGUUGAUGUUAAUGAACUUGAGGUUGACGCUCUAGGGUGUAAUAAUAAAAAAUAAUAAAAAAUCUAGCGGCGACAUAAAAAUGGAGCAGAUGAGCCCAGGAGCAGAAUUGGGUUUCCGUUUUGGCUCUAGGGAGCAUAUGCUCCUGGAUGUACAGUAAAUUCAAAACAGCUAGUAAAUAAAAUUUAAAAAUUCUGAUUUUCUUAUAGAUGUUCAUGUUAUUGUAGCAAGCCUGCUUCAGAAUUUUCAUGCGAAACAGGUUAGCAAUGCUUCGUCAGUGAAAAAAUAAUUAAAUGUAACAUUUGGUGUUUGACUUCUUUUUGCAUGGGUCAAAAUGGUUAAGCUUUCCCCCUAUAAAAGUUUUCAGAUGUUUUUGACAUUUGGAAAAAAACAUUUUUAGCGCCGGGGAGCAUGUGCUCCCAGGAGCCGAAUUGAAUUACGUAGGUGACAAUACCCAUAUGGCUAUCUGAGAUUCCAACACUUAAAUUUUUUAGCUGCAAAAAAAAAGAGAAAGAAUCCAAUUCUCAUAAGCACAUUGGCAGGUCAUGUAAUAAAAAAGAAUAUUUGGAUGUAAAUAAUCUAGCUAGACAAUAUUACUGUGCACCUGCUUCAUUUUAGCAUUUGAGUUGUGCAUAUUUCAAAGUUCUAACAAUAGGGCAUCUUCAUUGAAGUACCUGCCGGACUAACCAGCGGCCUAUUUUUUUUGAGAAACAGAGUACAGACAUAGAUGUCCACAUACACACACACACACACACACGCAUACUCACCCCAAUGAACACACACACCCUACCCCUAUGAGCACCUCUGUUGAAAUUGAAGUACUCCCUCUGUAAAGGAAUAUAAGAGCGCUUAGAUCAAUCUAAACAUCUAAAUGCUCUUAUAUUUCUUUACAGAGGGAGUACUAUCAUAAAAAACUGUGUACUAUGCGGUGCAAUGUGACAUUUUGAAUGAUGACAUGCUUAGCAGAUCAUUCUAACAUUGUUUCUCACACCAGAAUUGAUGGAGGGGACACAUUGAGUAGACACUAAAAGAUGACCAGCUCAAUUAGCAAAGUCAAAAUAUAUGGGGGCUGAAACCAUAAUUAGAAUCACAUGUUGGGUGCACAAAUUAGGCACAACCCGGCAUUCUUGAAUAAAAUCAGAAUAGACACACUAAUGGCUUUCUUGAAUCCAAGCAAACUAUGCAUACUGCUAUGCAUUCUUCAGGACUAUCGUGUGAGCACUUACCAUACUAGUUUGAACUAUUGUGAACAUAGUCAGCUAUUUAGUCAUAGCUCAUACUCCCUCCGUUCCAAAAUAGAUGACCCAACUUUGUACUAAACUUAGUAUAAAGUUGAGUCAUCUAUUUUGGAACGGAGGGAGUACAUGUGACCUACCUAGACCAAACAAACAAAGAUAAAUAUAGUAUUUCUACUUAAGCAUUGUCACACCAGUUUCAUAUGGCAUCAUUAACUCAGUCUUAUCAUAAGCUUCAACCAAGUCAUUGUGUGUUCCUUUAUAUCUAUAUAUUAACUAGGUAGAUAGGCUACACAUCACGAAGCACAACUUGUAUGGACUAUGGAGUUAGUGAUUUAACAUGCACGCAGACUAACUUGCCACAGUUUUUGUUAAAACUGGUAAAUUUGAUAGAAAACUAGGAAAUUUCACUAUAUACAUGAUGAUCAUGUUUCAUGCUCCUUUGUAGUACCCAGCAGUGGCAGAGCUUAGUGCGGGCCAGAGUGGGCCAUGCCCCCCCAGGAAAAGUAUUUCCUUAUAUUAACACCUCAUAUCUAAAACUAUUUGGGGUCAAAUUUGACANNNNNNNNNNNNNNNNNNNNNNNNNNNNNNNNNNNNNNNNNNNNNNNNNNNNNNNNNNNNNNNNNNNNNNNNNNNNNNNNNNNNNNNNNNNNNNNNNNNNNNNNNNNNNNNNNNNNNNNNNNNNNNNNNNNNNNNNNNNNNNNNNNNNNNNNNNNNNNNNNNNNNNNNNNNNNNNNNNNNNNNNNNNNNNNNNNNNNNNNNNNNNNNNNNNNNNNNNNNNNNNNNCCCCAACUCCGCUUAAAGGUUCAUUUAGACACCUGUCAAAUCCCGUUGAAGCUCCGCCACUGGUACCCAGUACAUUUCUACUUGGGUGCCAAAUAUAUUAGAAGGUGGAAAAAACAAAACCGCAACUGUUUUGGCCACAAGAACAAUUGUUUGAUAUGUGGUAUAUAUAAGACCAAUAACAUGUUUAAUAUGUCCCAGCCAUCAUGAUGACAAAAUUUCCUUCUAACUUUAUUGAACAUCUGAAGUUCCAAAAACCUUGUGUGUUUUCACUACUCCAGACUCACAUAUUCAUGAUGGAAAGAUGAGUAAUUCAUACAAACCCCUUUUCUUUUUCCCAAGAAUGCAAAUCAAGGCCACACUUUUGAGAACGUAUAUUUCGCAUAACUAUGAUAUCUGUGACAUAACAAGUGCACAAAACCAUACUUUUAAGUAUGGAUUUGACAUAACUUGCACCUUCUUAGAUAUAGCUUUGCCAGCUUGUUAGCAUUUAUAUUCUGUAGAAAACAACUUUCCACAUAAUACAAUGCUAACAAGCUGACAUUAAGCAUUGGAUAGCUAGUGGGCCUAGUUUUUCAACACCACCACAAAUGCUAAAACCUUGGCUUUCUAAUAUGCUAUGUAAAAUGUGUUUUUUUACAAAUUGUUUUGCUAAAAUAUGUAUUUUUAUGAGAAAUCUCUGGAAAUAUUGAUAGAUUUGUAGAUGUAGAAUGGCUUAAGAAACAAUUGCUCCAGGCUAAAACAACACCAUAGCCUUGUUAAUUGUUAACCACUUAAGUUCGUAAACAAGAAAUUAAGAUAAAAUCCUACGAUUGAAACUGCAAUUACAAGAUACAUCUCCUACUUAGGGCAUCUCCAACUCAGUCCAUCAACACGCCCCUAAAUAUCCAGACCGCGCGGUCCGAACACUUUGUGCCAUCCAGCGUCGUGCAGCAAAUGUCUGCAGACCGGUCCGCACAUCUGAAUUCCCGCAAAUCGGAAGCAAAGCUGGGGAUGGUUUGCGGAUGUUUGGACAGCCGCCACGUCAGACUCGGACACCACCCACACAAAAACCCAACUCGGAGCCCCGCUUUUCUCAAUCCGUCCCUCCGCCCUUGUUGUGUAUUUGCGUAGUCCGAGACCGACGUUGCCGCUGUACCACCUACUCCGCCGCCCAGACCUUGUCGGACCUCCAUCGCUCCAGCCAGGCUCCAGCCCCGACUUGCCUACACCUCCCUUCCAUCCUUGGUCUGGCCGCCGCCCAGGUACCCUCCGCCCCUGCACAUUUCUUUCCAUGGCGGACAUCGUGCCUGGCAAGUGUUCGGCCAAAUGCCAUAGCCAAAUUUAUGGAUGUUUUUGUUGUUUACUUUGAAGCAAACACGAUGGAUUCGGCCAUGGAGUAUUUCUAUCGAACUUCCAAAGCAUAAUUUGGUGACGUUUCAGGAAUUUAUCCAAAUGCAUCAACAAAUUCGGCAUCGAGCAACUCAUGAGCAGUUUCAGAAUUAUCUAGUUGAGCAUUUGUUGACUAUUCGAGGGGAGGAGUCAAAAAUAUAUCCGAAUAAGUUGAAUACAAUUUUGAAUUAUUUUAUUGAAAGACUUCAUGUUUGAAUUGAUAUAUUUAUAUUUGAAUUGUUGUUGCAUCAGAAUAUUUGCACAGCAUAAUUAUGGACAAAGGCUGCCAUUUAUCUUUAAUUAUUUUAUGUGCUCUGAAUAUAGGGAAAAAAAGACCAAGGGCGGACAUUUGAUGUAUAGGGUUGGAUGGCCUCCCCCUAUACGUUGUCCACGGAGGCGUCUGGACGUGUCCUUGAACAUUUGGGGUGUUCAUCUUUUGAUGGACGGCGUUGGAGAUGCCCUUAGUAAUUUGUAAGUCUAUAACGCGCGUCUGAAAAAAAUCUUCAGCCCAUUAUCUUCAAAUGAGAUUUCGUUAAAAAAUAAUCCCCGAGGCUGUCAAAACAGAAACAAACAAGCGUGUGUCUAGCUCUCAAGUAGAUGAGAAAUAAAUAUGUUUCAUCUAACUUCUAUACCGUUGGAUUUUACCCGGAGAUUUGUAGGUUUUUUCUUUUCUUUUGAUUAAUCAAGUAGUGUAGGAGUUAGAUGAAACUUUGUUAAUUUUCAUCUCUAUGUCAAACAAAAACGAACAAACAAUACUAUAUUUACUUACCAGAAGUAAUUCAACCAAGCUAUCAUAUCAAGCACUGACGAAACAAAAUAAAGUUCCGUGAAUGAUCAACAAGAAGAUUCACACUUGCCCCCACAGCAACAAUAAAAAAAAGCUUCGCCAUUGGGAACCAGUGAUUAACCAGCAUGCAAGAGCAAGAUUCUUUCUUUCCCAGCCUAGCUCUCUCUCAAGUUCCAUCACCAGCCCAGCCUGCAAAGUCUACAAGUAGUAGGGUAGCAGCUACUCCUAGUACCUCACUAGCCUCUAGAGAGAGAGAGAGAGAGAGUGAAAAGGAUCUGGAGAGAGAUAUGGAGAGAGAAGCAUGCAUAGGUAGGCUGAGCUACAAGGACGAUGGAACCUUGGACAAAACCCUACACGAUGUCCCGUCGUCUGACACGCCUGCGCCCCAUUGGCAUGGACACGAUUUAACCUAUCAAGAACACUCAUCAAAGCCACAUUCACACACAAAGCAUCAAACACUUUCACACAAUCGAAUCCAAGGCUGCAGAGGACUGCGGCUAGCCGGAGAAAAUCAAGGCGCGAGAUGCAAUGCAUGUAUGCAUAAUAUGCAUGCGGAUUUUAUACCGGAGUGCGGCGAGGUGGCGGUGGCUCCGCCGCCGCAGAGCUUCUUGAACUGCGAGCGGAUGGUGGUGAGGAAGGAAGCGGCUUCGUCCAACGGCCGGGACAGCUCCACCUUGUACCGCGACAGCAGCCGGCAGUACGCCUCCUGCAUCGUCAUCUCCACAUGUAAUAACCAGCAAGAGCUAGCGCGCGAGGAUAAGGGGAGUUAGCUGCCGUGAACUUGUUGUACCUACCAUGAACUCGUCGAGCUCGGGGUCGAGGCCGAUCUCCCCGGCGGCGGCGGCGGCGCCUCCGCCACGCCUCUCUGGCCGGCCGACCUCCUCCAGCAGCGAGGCUACCUCCGGCGUUGCUCCCACCUGACAAAUCAAGAAUCAACGUGGCAAUUAAUUCUUGGACGAUGAGUGAGUGAGUGAACUAGCUAGCUCGAGCUACUUAUGGACUACUACUACAGCAUGCAAAAUGGAUUUGGACACGGACGGACCUUGCGGCAUUCGAUGUAGGCGGAGAGGAGGGAGGGGUAGCGGCGGUGCCCGGCGAUCUGCGUCUUCAUCAGCUCCGUCAGAUCCGCCGGUGGCGGAGGAGGGGGAGGAGAGCUGGCAUCACCGGCGACCCCUGACACCUCGCUGCAGGCCGCGUCGCCCUCGCCUCGGCGCGAGAUCCCCGGGUGGAUGCUGUACAGAUCCUCCAUCGAUCUCCUUCUCCCCCAGGGUGGAUGCUGUACUUAUGCUUUUUGUCAGUUGGAGAAUUUCAAUCGACUACGGCGCCACGUAGUAGAGCGCGACGCUUGCGUGUGCGAUACAAUCAUACUCGUACAACAGAUGUUGUGCUACUUCAUGCAUAUGCAUGGUCGUGAUCUUGGACACGCGCGGCCGAUCGUUUGGUAGCCCGCGUAUACUUCAGCCCGUGGCGAAUCUUGGAAAAGAAAAAUGAAGGGGUGCUCAAAGUGAACUGUGUGUAGAAAAUGUUAAAAACUCUCAAUUCUUUAGUCCAAAUAAGGUUAAAAAACUGAUAUGAAUACUAGUAAUUUCUCUUUUCCAAUUUUUGGAGGGGGCCUUGAGCCUGUCGGAGCCCCCCCGCUAGAUUCGUCACUGAUUUUAGCCAGGCUCGCACGGGAAGAAAAUAACCCGUCUGGUUACCCGCAUUCACUGUUGGGCUUGUAUAGCACGAAUAUUAAAGCACACGAACAUUAAAGCAUAUCUGGGUCUGCAUGAAGAGAAACACUCAAAUCGGUCAUUUUUUGAAGCUAGACCCAAGCGGUGCAACUCUAAACACGUGGGUGUGGGCGGUUACACGCGUGGAUGCGGUCCUGAGAAGUCGCGUUGUUUCCCGACACGUCGUCAUAAAUUACCCUCACCUUCCUUCCUCACCGCUCUCUCCCCUCUUUCCAACUCACACCGGCGGCGACGACCACCGAAGCGGCUGCAGACCUCCACCAGAGCGCAUCGGCCAUGGCGGUAAGUCCUCGCCCUCUCUAUAGAUUUACCGCUUUCGACUCGAGCUAGAUUAGACGUGAGCACGCGAUCGGAGAGUUAGGGAGGGGAUUGAACACAUCGUGGGUGGAGGAUUGGAUUAAAACACUGCCAUCGAUCGAUUCUGCACGGAUGACUUCCACACCCAGUGGGUGCUAGCGCGCCCCCACUGUUCAGCCGCAAAGACAAGAAGAGCAAGAAGACUCUACCGCAACCACGCGCUUCACGUCCUGCGUCCGCUCUUGAUCAUCCCGGACGAAGGUUUGCAGACGGCUCUCGCCUCCCCGGAUCUGCUGGCGCGGGGCUUCCACCGCCGUGUCCUCCGGGUUCGCGGUCCGACGACAACCUCGCCGGCCUCCGCCCAGGGCUACUGCGGGCCGGCACCGGACCCGCUCUCCAACGCUCGCUCCGAGUUCAUGAUGACUUGCGGUGGCACCACCACCAGGGUAUUGCCGCCUCCUAUCGGCGCCCCGUGGCCGGCGUUGACCCCGGCGCGCUGUCCGGCGUCGCCUGCGCCGCGCCGGUCGGAGGGCGUCCUCCCCAUGAGUUCCUCCCUCGGCCUCGUUCCCGGGCGGGGUGUCCACUAUAAUCUCCUUGAUGUUCUCUGACUCGUCGCCGGCCAGCUACGCCUGCUCGUCCGGGUCAGAACCCUCCUCCAUCAGCAGCCCGACGAUCGUGUCGACCGGCGUCAGGCCUUCCCCCCACUCCGGCCAGGCCGGGUCCGCGGCGGUUCUCCCUCUCACCUCAGCGGCCCUUUGUCGGUGUCAAAACCGGCGGAUCUCGGGUAGGGGGUCCCGAACUGUGCGUCUAAGGUCGAUGGUAACAUGAGACAAGGGACACGAUGUUUACCCAGGUUCGGGCCCUUUCUAUGGAGGUAAUACCCUACGUCCUGCUUGAUUGAUAUUGAUGAAUAUGAAUGUUACAAGAGUUUAUCUACCUCGAGAUCGUAAUGGCUAAACCCUAGAGGUCUAGCGUGUAUGGCUAUGAUAAUCAGCCUCCUCUAUCCGGACUAAGUCCUCCGGUUUAUAUAGACACCGGGAGGAUCUAGGGUUACAUAAGGUCUGUUACAAAGGAAGGAAUCUACAUAUUCGGUCACCAAGUUUGCCUUCUACGCCAAGGAGAGUCUUAUCCGGACACGAGUACAGUCUUCGGUCUUUGUAUUUGUUGGGGAAUGUAGUAAUUUCAAAAAAAAAUCUACGCACACGCAAGAUCAUGGUGAUGCAUAGCAACGAGAGGGAAGAGUACCAUCCACGUACCCUCAUAGACCGUAAGCGUAAGCGUUAUGAGAACGCGGUUGAUGUAGUUGAACGUCUUCACGAUCCGACCGAUCCAAGUACCGAACGCACGACACCUCCGAGUUCAGCACACGUUCAUCUCAAUGACGUCCCAUGAACUCCGAUCCAGCAGAGCUUCACGGGAGAGUUCCGUCAGCACGACGGCGUGUUGAUGGUGAUGAUGUUGCUACCGACGCAGGGCUUCGCCUAAGCACCGCUACGAUAUGAUCGAGGUGGAUUAUGGUGGAGGGGGGGCACCGCACACGGCUAAGGGAUCAAUGAUCAACUUGUGUGUCUAGAGGUGCCCCUUGCUCCCGUAUAUAAAGGAGCANNNNNNNNNNNNNNNNNNNNNNNNNNNNNNNNNNNNNNNNNNNNNNNNNNNNNNNNNNNNNNNNNNNNNNNNNNNNNNNNNNNNNNNNNNNNNNNNNNNNNNNNNNNNNNNNNNNNNNNNNNNNNNNNNNNNNNNNNNNNNNNNNNNNNNNNNNNNNNNNNNNNNNNNNNNNNNNNNNNNNNNNNNNNNNNNNNNNNNNNNNNNNNNNNNNNNNNNNNNNNNNNNNNNNNNNNNNNNNNNNNNNNNNNNNNNNNNNNNNNNNNNNNNNNNNNNNNNNNNNNNNNNNNNNNNNNNNNNNNNNNNNNNNNNNNNNNNNNNNNNNNNNNNNNNNNNNNNNNNNNNNNNNNNNNNNNNUGUCCGAAUAUAGUCGUCCAAUAUAUCGAUCUUUACGUCUCGACCAUUUCGAGACUCCUCGUCAUGUCUGUGAUCAUAUCCGGGACUCCGAACUACCUUCGGUACAUCAAAACACAAAAACUCAUAAUACCGAUCGUCACCGAACUUUAAGCGUGCGGACCCUACGGGUUCGAGAACUAUGUAGACAUGACCGAGACACGUCUCCGGUCAGUAACCAAUAGCGGAACCUGGAUGUUCAUAUUGGCUCCCACAUAUUCUACGAAGAUCUUUAUCGAUCAAACCGCAUAACAUCAUACGUUGUUCCCUUUGUCAUCGGUAUGUUACUUGCCCGAGAUUCGAUCGUCGGUAUCUCAAUACCUAGUUCAAUCUCGUUACCGGCAAGUCUCUUUACUCAUUCUGUAAUGCAUCAUCCCACAACUAACUCAUUAGUUACAAUGCUUGCAAGGCUUAUAGUGAUGUGCAUUACCGAGUGGGCCCAGAGAUACCUCUCUGACAAUCAGAGUGACAAAUCCUAAUCUUGAUCUAUGCCAACUCAACAAGUACCAUUGGAGACACCUGUAGAGAACCUUUAUAAUCACCCAGUUACGUUGUGACGUUUGGUAGCACACAAAGUGUUCCUCCGGUAAUCGGGAGUUACAUAAUCUCAUAGUCAUAGGAACAUGUACAAGUCAUGAAGAAAGCAAUAGCAGUAAACUAAAACGAUCAAGUGCUAAGCUAACCGAAUGGGUCAAGUCAAUCAUAUCAUUCUCCUAAUGAAGGGAUCCCAUUAAUCAAAUGACAACUCAUGUCUAUGGUUAGGAAACUUAACCAUCUUUGAUUAAUGAGCUAGUCAAGUAGAGGCAUACUAGUGACACUCUAUUUGUCUAUGUAUUCACACAUGUACUAAGUUUCCGGUUAAUAAAAUUCUAGCAUGAAUAAUAAACAUUUAUCAUGAUAUGAGGAAAUAAAUAAUAACUUUAUUAUAGCCUCUAGUGCAUAUUUCCUUUAGUCUCCCACUUGCACUAGAGUCAAUAAUCUAGAUUACACAGUAAUGAUUCCAACACCCAUGGAGCCUUGGUGCUGAUCAUGUUUUGCUCGUGAGAGAGGCUUAGUCAACGGGUCUGCAACAUUUAGAUCCGUAUGUAUCUUGCAAUCUCUAUGUCUCCCACCUGGACUUGAUCGCGGAUGGAAUUGAAGCGUCUCUUGAUGUGCUUGGUUCUCUUGUGAAAUCUGGAUUCCUUUGCCAAGGCAAUUGCACCAGUAUUGUCACAAAAGAUUUUCAUUGGACUCGAUGCACUAGGUAUGACACCUAGAUCGGAUAUGAACUCCUUCAUCCAGACUCCUUCAUUUGCUGCUUCCGAAGCAGCAAUGUACUCCGCAUCACACGUAGAUCCCGCCACGACACUUUGUUUAGAACUGAUCCAACUGACAGCUCCACCGUUCAAUAUAAACACGUAUCCGGUUUGUGAUUUAGAAUUGUCCGGAUCAGUGUCAAAGCUUGCAUUAAUGUAACCAUUUACGAUGAGCUCUUUGUCACCUCCAUAAACGAGAAACAUAUCCUUAGUCCUUUUAAGGUAUUUCAGGAUGUUCUUGACCGUUGUCUAGUAAUCCACUCCUAGAUUACUUUGGUACCUCCCUGCUAAACUAAUAGCAAGGCACACAUCAGGUCUGGUACACAACAUUGCAUACAUGAUGGAGCCUAUAGCUGAAGCAUAGGGAACAUCUUUCAUUUUCUCUCUAUCUUUUGCAGUGGUCGGGCAUUGAGUCUUACUCAACUUCACACCCUGUAACACAGGUAAGAAUCCUUUCUUUGCCUGAUCCAUUUUGAACUUCUUCAAAACUUUGUCAAGGUAUGUGCUUUGUGAAAGUCCAAUUAAGCGUCUUGAUCUAUCUUUGUAGAUCUUGAUGCCCAAUAUGUAAGCAGCUUCACCGAGGUCUUUCAUCGAAAAACUCUUAUUCAAGUAUCCUUUUAUGCUAUCCAGAAAUUCUAUAUCAUUUCCAAUCAACAAUAUGUCAUCCACAUAUAAUAUUACAAAUGCUAGAGAGCUCCCACUCAUGUUCUUGUAAAUACAAGCUUCUCCAAAAGUCUGUAUAAAACCAUAUGCUUUGAUCACACUAUCAAAACAUUUAUUCCAACUCUGAGAGGCUUGCACCAGUCCAUAAAUGGAUCGCCGGAGCUUGCACACUUUGUUAGCACCCUUUGGAUCGAUAAAAACUUCAGGUUGCAUCAUAUACAACUCUUCUUCCAGAAAUCCAUUCAGGAAUGCAGUCUUUACAUCUAUUUGCCCAAUUUCAUAAUCAUAAAAUGCGGCAAUAGCUAACAUGAUUCGGACGGACUUAAGCAUUGUCGGUGUCAAAACCGGCGGAUCUCGGGUAGGGGGUCCCGAACUGUGCGUCUAAGGCGGAUGGUAACAGGAGGCGGGGGACACAAUGUUUACCCAGGUUCGGGCCCUCUUGAUGGAGGUAACACCCUACUUCCUGCUUGAUUGAUCUUGAUGAUAUGAGUAUUACAAGAGUUGAUCUACCACGAGAUCGUAGAGGCUAAACCCUAGAAGCUAGCCUAUGAUUAUGAUUAUUCUUGUCCUACGGACUAAACCCUACGGUUUAUAUAGACACGAAGAGGGCUAGGGUUACACAGAGUCGGUUAUAGGGGAGGAGAUCUACAUAUCCGAAUUGCCAAGCUUGCCUUCCACGCAAAGGAGAGUCCCACCCGGACACGGGACGAAGUCUUCAAUCUUGUAUCUUCAUAGCCCAACACUCUGGCCAAAGGAUAUAGUCCGACUGUCCGAGGACCCCCUAAUCCAGGACUCCCUCAGUAGCCCCUGAACCAGGCUUCAAUGACAAUGAGUCCGGCGCGCAGAUUGUCUUCGGCAUUGCAAGGCGGGUUCUUCCUUCGAAUACUCCAUAGAAGAUUUCAAACACAAGGAUAGUGUCCGGCUCUGCAAAACAAAUUCGACAUACCAUCGUAGAGAGUAUAAUAUCUCCACAAAUCUAAUCUGCCGACAACUUUUCAUAACGUGACAUCACGCCAUGGCCCGGUCAUUAUUCGAACCGUUUUCCUCAACCAGCUACUGCACAUAUUGCGGGGCGGUUUUCUUGGCAAGUCUUGUCGAAGAAGAGAUCGUGUCCCCUUAUCACGGGAUUCUCAUCAUUACGGGUGUGGGUAACCCAACCGUGCCAUCAAUCACGGCGCUUGGGGAACAAGCGAGUUUACUAGGCGGGUGGGGAGGCGCAUAGUUUCUUCCGCCCUUAUAAAGGGACAAGGACUCCUCCUUUUCACCCAUGCCUUCUUCUUCCCUGCCCAUCCAUUCUCGCGCACUCGAGCUCCAACGCCCAAGUUCGCAUUUUCUUCGUAAAACCACUCCAGACAUGUCCGGAGUGGGAGGCAAGUGGAUGGUCUCCUCUGUUACGGAGGAUAACAUUACGAAGCUCCGGGAAGCCGGAUACCUGGCCGCAGAUAUCGCGCACCGGCUCCCAAACGCGGGGCAGAUCGUCCCUACCCCCGAACCCCACAAAAAAGUUGUAUUCCUUACCCAUUUCGUCCGCGGGCUGGGAUUUCCCCUCCACCCAUUUGUCUGUGGGCUCAUGUUCUACUACGGGCUGGACUUCCACGAUCUGGCCCCCAAUUUCAUACUCACCAUCUUGGCGUUUAUCGUCGUGUGCGAGGCCUUCCUCCGCAUCAAGCCCCACUUCGGCCUGUGGCUAAAGACCUUCAACGUUAAACCGAAGGUGGUGGUCGGCCAGCAAGCGGAGUGCGGAGGCGCCAUGGUGGGCAAAAUGCCCAACGUUACCUGGCUCGAAGGCUCCUAUGUGGAGACCGUGAAGGGGUGGCAAUCGGGGUGGUUCUAUAUCACCGAGCCGUGUGACACCAACUGGGUGGCGGCCCCCGAAUUUUGAUCCGGCAUCCCCAUGCGGCUCACCUCCUGGAAAGAGAAGGGCAUAUCCUGGGGUUCAUCGGUGGAGCUGACCGGACUCCAGAACUGUGUUAAAAACAUGAUAAGCAAAAAAUCAAGCUUGUCAACGUGGUCCAGGUCAUGCUCUUCCGCCGGAUCCUCCCGUGUCAAAGACAUACAUUCAAUAUGUGGGAGUUCGACCUGGCUAAGCACCAGACGCUACGAGAGCUCUUCAACACGACACACCAGGACAUCUGGAAGGUGCUAUUCAAGUCCACCGAGGUACCUCCUCCCCUUAUUGAGGAUCGCGGACUAAGUGCAAAGCGCCCUACCAAUCCGGUAAUCUUCUUAUAUCUCAUAAGAUGUUUCUUUCCCCAGUAUAAUCAUGCGGGGGAUCUAAACCUCCAUGCCAUUUAAUAGGAGUGGGUCGCGACAGCGGAGCGGAUCGGUUGUCCAGCCCCACUGCCCGAGGAUCCAGCAAGGGCUCUCUUAAUGGAGAUGCUGGUUCCGGCGCCCUAUGAGGCGCCGGAGAAGAAGGCUAAGGAGAAGGCCACGGGGACCAGGAAAGGUCUCCGGCGCAAGGUUGUAUCAGACUCAUUGUCCGAUAACACCAAGGCACCCUCCUCCCAUGAAAACGAGGAGGAGGAAGAGGAAAGUCCCCCCCCCCCAGCCGGGGGAGACAAGAAAAGGAAGGCCGCCCCGUCAGGGGAGGCCGAAGGGUCCAAGAAGGGAAGGACUCUCCUUCCGGACUACUCCACGGCGGCCGCUUUUAGCGACGAGGAGUGGUUACCCAGGGACAAGCCCCUGGCGAAGUCGUAAGUAUCCGGAUACCAUAAUAGUUCUUAGUAUGUUUUAUGUUAUUGCUUCUUAUCAUGCCGAACAUGACCAUGCAGCCCAUCCAAAGCCCAUAUCGACGUAUCCUCUUCGGAUGAGUCUUUGGGACUGUCGGAGAUGAACAACAAUUCACUCCCGACCGCCUCCUCCCCCCGUCCUACGGACGAUGUCGAGGUGUUGUCUCAAAGGGUACUGAACCAAGGGGAGACAGUUCCGGAGGCGCCCCAAGGCGACAUUCCGGACGCUGGGCGCACGAGGGGCAAGACUCCCAUGGGUUCUAAUGCCAGGGGCAGCAAGUCUAGCCCCCAGCCGAAUACUGCACCGGAACCUCCAGUGGUUCUGAAUUCUGUCAGGCGACCUCUCGCCAAGGGGGGCAAGCCGUCUGUGCCGAUGGCCUCUGUCCAUCCAGAGGCAUCGGACAAUUUGCUGGAAGCGCUUCGUGGCGCUUCCAUUGACGAAGAGCACCGCACUAUCAUGAGUGCGGUGGUCAAGAAGGUUCGGUCCGCCAAAAGCGGACUGACUGAAGCCUGUGCCAGCCUCCUAACAGGCUUUGAGGUAAGUAAUCAAAUCAUGAGAAAAUGUUACAUCAUAGACAGUAGCCCCUGAUGCUCUGUUUGGUGUUCAGAAAGAAAGGCUGAACGGAGGAUCAAAUAAUAAUCAUAGGAGUCUAAUCAGAAUAUGUCUAUGUGAAUAAGCAGGCUUCACUGCUGGCCGCUACCGCUCACACGGUGGAGGUCUCCGCACUGAAGCGGGACCUUGAGCGGUCCGAGGAAGAGCUCGGCCUUACCAAGAGGCAGCUCGAAGAGAAAAAAGGUAAGCAAUACCUUGUCUGUUUAUUGAUAAAGAAAAAGGAAACUGGUUGUUAGAUCACAGGAUCGUCAUGAAUUUUGCUAGGGGCCACAACCGAAGUGGCGGCCCUAAAGAAGGCACUGUCCGAGGCCGAAGGCAAAGCGGCCAAGGAGCGCACCGAGCGUGAAAAGAAAGAGGCCCGAGUCGGCGAGGUUCAGCAAGAGCUCCAGGAGUUUUUCAAGAAGUACGAGUACUUGGAGCGUGACUCUAAUACGCAAGGGUCCGAGCUUGUGAAGGCCCUCGAGAACGCACAAAAUGCCAAGGCCGAAGCCCAAAAGGCCCUCCAGGAAAUUGAGGCGGUCAGGAAGAUAGCGGCGGGUAAGGCAUUCAUUAUGCAAAGCAAGCAUGUGAAGGAAACUUUCCUUUUACUUACCCAAAUUCGGAGCUCUCCAGGAGCGUUCACAGAUCUACCCAGCAGUGUGUCGGAUGCCGCAUAGUUCUACCAGGCCGAGGAAGGGAGCUCGACGAAGAAGUUGUUCUGGUCUCAGUAUACUGGGACCGAACAUCCGAUGCCCUUGAGCGACCAGUUGAAGCAACUGGUCGAGCUUCACAAGGCGUCCUAACUGGCCAUGAAGGGCCUCAUAGUCCAGAUGUGGCCUGGCGAGCCCCUGCAUGGCAGCUAUUUCGGCCUGGUAAGGCAGCUUGUGAACGUCUGCCCCCGGUUUGAAGUCAUAAAGCGGUCCGUCUGCAUUGAUGGUGCGCGCAUGGCUUUUGCCCGGGCGAAAGUGCAUUGGGCGAAGAUGGACGCCGAAAUGCUAGUGAAGGAGGGGCCGCCGGAGGGCAAGGAGCAUCGCCACCCCGAAAAGUAUUAUGACAGUGUCCUGAAGGGUGCUCACCUUAUGGCAGAGCAAUGUGCUAAGGAUGUAAUAUUUAAAUGAAUGUACUCAUGUGAUCCUGUAAUGUGAAACGAGUUCAUGUGCGCUAUGUAACGCUUGUUAAUUUAAAAUAUUACCUUCUGUGCAGCCGUUUAUAAAAUUGGAGAGUUGACCAGUCGUCGGCUUCUGCCCCAUGUAACUAGUACUGAGGUGUUCGGGAUAAACCUGAUCACUCUUUAUCCCAGUUUUGGGUCCUUCGAAGGAGGUGUUCAGCACAACAAACUAGGCAAUCGGACUGUAAAGCUUUAUCACUCUCACUUAGCCAUAGAAGUCUACAAUUUUAAAUUUUGGGGAAGCCCCUAGUAUUCGGAAGGCCGAACUUGGGGCGCUAUGUACGCCUAAAUCGGACAAGGCCGACUCCUCGCCCGAAGCGGAAAAAAUCUUUAAGGAUUUGAGACCUCUCGAACAGCGACCAACUCUCGCCGCAUCAUGACAGUCAGUUUUUGGCUUUCUCUACUGAGGUGCUCAUCCGGAAGAACCGGGACACAAUUGCAGUAGUUCUCCCAGUGCUACCUUAGCUGAUAUAGCAGAACGUAAGGUACCAAAACAUGGGAGCCGAGCAAACCCAACUAUUGACCCAAGACAUGAUUCAGAGCUGAUGCACAUAAUGCUAUAAGUUCGGGGUGCCACACUAUCGAAAGUGUUCAGACUUUUCAUGCCAUGUUAUGGGGUACACUGAAGCCCCUGGCGCACUGGUCGUAUCAGAAUGUACGAGUGCGAUUUGUCGUAAAUAAGCAGACAGGGAAAAAAGAUAAAGGAAUGCAAUAAUGAGCUGAUGCUGUACGUUGCUAUUUAAAUGAUACGUCAAAGCGUAUGCAUGCAUGUAGUGCAAUAAGUAAAAAAUAGGAUUAUUUGACAUGUCCUAUCCAAGGUCAAUCUGUGUGUGGGUAUGCAAAACAGGUAUGUCGAUCGUCAUUAGAGACCACCUGAGGAUUCCCUUGUACGUCAAAGCUUCUUACUUCCUUGGUGUUUCCUUCCUGUGACGGGUCCGAUAAUCAGACGAUCGGAGAGGGCCUUCAGAGAAUAGGGGCCUGAAAGGAAGAAAAUGUUAAAGGUAUACAUGUCCUAAAGCGGUUGAGCCGCACUAUGGGCCGUGCCAUGGCCGUGCCUCCGCCUAUGCCCAUGGUAUCUUGAGUGUGUAAUUAUGUAUGCGUGGUGCAAAUUUCGCCGCUUGACUGGGACUAGGACGGAGGCCGAAUUGCUAGGAGAGCUCUAAAGGUGCCUGACGAUCCUCUUGUAGGGUACUCCGGACUCGCUUAAAGGUGUCCGGGGUCUUUUUCACCGAAUUGGCGGUUUGCCUCAUGAGGCUGCUUUGCGCUUCUGCUGCGAGGGCCGCAGUGUCCUCCUCUGUGCGGAGCAAGCGUUCUAUGUUUACAUUAACUGUUAUAACCCCAUGAGGUCCUGGCAUUUUGAGCUUGAGGUAUGCAUAAUGGUACCACGUUGAAUAUGGCAAAUGCGGUUCGUCUGAGCAGUGCAUGAUAGCCACUGUGGAAGGGGACGAUAUUGAAGAUUAACUCCUCGCUUCGGAAGUUGUCCGGAGAUCCGAAGACCACUUCCAGUGUGAUUGAGCCCGUGCAACAGGCCUCUACACCUGGGAUGGCACCUUUAAAGGUGGUUUUGGUGGGUUUGAUCCUCGAGGGGUCUAUACCCAUUUUACGCACUGUAUCCUGAUAGAGCAGGUUCAGGCUGCUGCCACCGUCCAUAAGGACUCGAGUGAGGUGAAAUCCGUCAAUGAUGGAGUCAAGGACCAAUCCAGCAGAACCGCCAUGACGGAUACUGGUGGGGUGGUCCCUGCGAUCGAAGGUGAUCGGACAAGAAGACCAUGGGUUGAACUUUGGGGCGGCUGGCUCCAUCGCAUAGACGUCCCUCAGUGCAUGCUUCCGUUCNNNNNNNNNNNNNNNNNNNNNNNNNNNNNNNNNNNNNNNNNNNNNNNNNNNNNNNNNNNNNNNNNNNNNNNNNNNNNNNNNNNNNNNNNNNNNNNNNNNNNNNNNNNNNNNNNNNNNNNNNNNNNNNNNNNNNNNNNNNNNNNNNNNNNNNNNNNNNNNNNNNNNNNNNNNNNNNNNNNNNNNNNNNNNNNNNNNNNNNNNNNNNNNNNNNNNNNNNNNNNNNNNNNNNNNNNNNNNNNNNNNNNNNNNNNNNNNNNNNNNNNNNNNNNNNNNNNNNNNNNNNNNNNNNNNNNNNNNNNNNNNNNNNNNNNNNNNNNNNNNNNNNNNNNNNNNNNNNNNUCUUCUGUCCUCCUGUGUUCGGCAGCCGACGCUCCUCCUCGUCGUCGCUAUGCAGCCCCUUUUCCUUGUUUUCGGUGUUCAACCUGCCGGCCUGUUUGAACACCCAACAUUCUCUGUUGGUGUGGUUGGCUGGUUUAUCGGGGGUUCCGUGAAUUUUACACGAAUGAUCGAGUAUGCGGUCCAAGCUGGACGGGCCCGAAUUGCUUCUCUUGAACGCCUUUUUCUGCUGAUCGGAUUUAGAGCCACUGAAUCCGGCAUUAACUGCCGUGUCUUCGGUGUUGUCGCCGUUGUUGCGGCACUUGUGUCUGUUGCGACGUGGCUUGCCGUUGCUAUCUUUGGCAUCUGAAUUGUCAGGAUUUCUUGAUGUGUUGUUAUUGCGAGCCAGCCAGCUGUCCUUGCCCGCACAAAAGCGGGUGGUGAGUGUCGUGAGGGCUACCAUGGACUUCGGCUUUUCAUGGCCGAGGUGUCGGGCGAGCCACUCGUCACGGAUGUUAUGCUUAAAUGCCGCUAAGGCCUCGGCAUUCGGACAGUCGACAAUUUGGUUCUUUUUAGUUAGGAACCGAGUCCGGAAUUUCCUGGCUGAUUCCCCUGGCUGUUGGGUUAUGUGACUCAAGUCAUCAGCAUCCGGUGGUCGCACAUAAGUGCCCUGUAAGUUAUCAAGGAACGCGUCUUCCAAGUUCUCCCAACUGCCAAUGGAGUUUGCCGGCAGGCUAUUCAGCCAAUGCCGAGCCGACCCUUUGAGUUUUAGUGGGAGGUACUUGAUGGCAUGUAGAUCGUCACCGCGGGCCAUGUGGAUGUGGAGGAGGAAAUCUUCAAUCCAUACUGCGGGGUCUGUUGUACCAUCAUAUGAUUCGAUGUUCACGGGUUUAAACCCUUCUGGGAAUUCGUGAUCCAUUACUUCGUCGGUGAAGCAUAGGGGGUGUGCGGCGCCUCUAUGCCGGGCUAUGUCACAAUGUAGUUCAUACGAGUCUUGUCUGCUGUAUUCGGCCCGACCGGAUUUUCUUUUAGUAUAUCCGGCGUGACGGUCGUCGUCAUGCGUUGGGGCGCGCCCCCAUGAUCCGUAGAUCGAUCUUGUAUGUCCUGCUUUGUUUUCCAAUAUGUCUCGCAGGUCCUGCGUGUUGCCCCGGGCCUUGGUGUUUUUGUUUGACUGGCAACAGGGUGCGGGCUGGACUUCAGGCUGAUAUGCCGCUUUGUCUCGGCCACGAGGUGGCCGGUCAGCCGCAUCAUACGCUGGUAGUGUAGGCUUUAAUGCUUCCUCGAGUUGGGGUAGCAACCUGCGCUUUGGGUAACUUUUGGUUGGGUGCUCGAGUUCGUAUUCCUCGGCUCCCAGCAUCUCGGUCCAUCUAUCCGCUAGUAGAUCUUGAUCAGCUUGAAGCUGCUAUUGCUUUUUCUUCAGGAUUUUUGUUGUGGAUAUAAGCCGGCGCUUGAAGCGCUCCUGCUCGACGGGAUCCUGAGGCACGAUAAAUUCUUCAUCGCCGAGGCUGACCUCGUCAUCGGAGAGGGGCAUGUAAUUGUCAUCCUCUGAUUCUCCGUCUGACGCCUGUUCCUUAGGGCUAGCUUUCCCAUCCUCCCGCUCGAAGCCUGGCUGGAGGGGAUUGUCUUCGUCUUCGUCACUAUCCGCAGCGUUAUUGUCUCUUGUGCCGGUAUCGCUGCUUUUGCUAUGGCGGGUCUUAGAGCGGCGCCGAUGAUGCGGUGCUUAGAUUGCUUCUUGAGGGGAUUAUCCUCCAUUGCCUUAUUGCCAUCGCUUUCUUUGGGGGUGUCCACCAUGUAUAUAUCAUAUGAUGAGGUGGCUGUCCAGCGCCCUAUGAGUGGUGGUUCCUGUUCUUCUCCUGCAUCAUCGUCCAUAUCGUCGAUGUCUUCAGAGCCGAAAUCAAGCAUGUCGGUUAAGUCGUCGACAGUGGCUAUUAAGUGGGUGGUGGGUGGGGAAUGAAUUUCUUCGUCGUUCGCUUCCCACUCAAGCCGGACAUAGUUUGGCCAAGGGUCUCCUGACAAGGAGAGAGACCUCAAUGAAUUUAGCAAGUCGCCCAAGGGCGAGUGCUAAAAGAUAUUCGCGGAGGUAAACUCCAUGAUCAUUGCCCAAUCAGAUUCGAUAGGCACGGACGCGGGCGGUUCAGAGCCUGUGGCCGGGGACGAAUCCAAGGAUCCGGCAACACAGGUCUCAUAGGAGGUGAAGUCAGUAUUCGGCUCUAUCGCCGCUGAGUGUGCGGCCUCUAUGGUGGGGUCCAUCCACCCAUCCUCGGAUGGCAUGAUCUGCUCCGGAUUGAAGGCCGAAGUAGCCACAGGUGUGAUCUCCCGAACACCGUCUGGCGGCAGAGCUAAGUCAUGCUCGUCGCGACUGUGCAGCGCACCUGACAUGGGCUUGAAUCCGUCGAAGAUCAAGUCUCCGCGGAUGUCGGCAGUAUAGUUCAAGCUUCCAAACCCGACCUGAUGGCCAGGGGCGUAGCUCUCGAUCUGCUCUAGAUGGCCAAGCGAGUUGGCCCGCAGUACGAAGCCGCCGAAUACGAAGAUCUGUUCGGGGAGAAAAACCUCACCCUGGAUUGCAUCGUUGUCGAUGAUCGAAGGAGCCAUCAAGCCUUAUGGUGACGACACAGUGGAACUCUCAAUGAAAGCACCAAUGUCGAUGUCAAAACCGGUAGAUCUCGGGUAGGGGGUCCCGAACUGUGCGUCUAAGGCGGAUGGUAACAGGAGGCGGGGGACACAAUGUUUACCCAGGUUCGGGCCCUCUCGAUGGAGGUAACACCCUACUUCCUGCUUGAUUGAUCUUGAUGAUAUGAGUAUUACAAGAGUUGAUCUACCACGAGAUCGUAGAGGCUAAACCCUAGAAGCUAGCCUAUGAUUAUGAUUAUUCUUGUCCUACGGACUAAACCCUCCGGUUUAUAUAGACACCGGAGGGGGCUAGGGUUACACAGAGUCAGUUACAAGGGAGGAGAUCUACAUAUCCGAAUUGCCAAGCCUGCCUUCCACGAAAAGGAGAGUCCCACCCAGACACGAGAUGAAGUCUUGUAUCUUCAUAGCCCAACAGUCCGGCCAAAGGAUAUAGUCCGGCUGUCCGAGGACCCCCUAAUCUAGGACUCCCUCAAGCAUCGCUACGGGUGAGAAGGUCUCAUCGUAGUCAACUCCUUGAACUUGUCGAAAACCUUUCGCAACAAGUCGAGCUUUGUAGACAGUAACAUUACCAUCAGCGUCUGUCUUCUUGAAGAUCCAUUUAUUCUCGAUGGCUUGCCGAUCAUCGGGCAAGUCAACCAAAGUCCACACUUUGUUCUCAUACAUGGAUCCCAUAUUAGAUUUCAUGGCCUCAAGCCAUUUUGCGGAAUCUGGGCUCAUCAUCGCUUCCUCAUAGUUCGUAGGUUCAUCAUGGUCUAGUAACAUGACCUCCAAAACAGGAUUACCGUACCACUCUGGUGCGGAUCUUACUCUGGUUGACCUACGAGGCUCGGUAGUAACUUGAUCUGAAGUUUCAUGAUCAUCAUCAUUAGCUUCCUCACUAAUUGGUGUAGGUGUCACAAAAACCGGUUUCUGUGAUGAACUACUUUCCAAUAAGGGAGCAGGUACAGUUACCUCAUCAAGUUCUACUUUCCUCCCACUCACUUCUUUCGAGAGAAACUCCUGCUCUAGAAAGGAUCCAUUCUUAGCAACAAAAGUCUUGCCUUCGGAUCUGUGAUAGAAGGUGUACCCAACUGUCUCUUUUGGGUAUCCUAUGAAGACACAUUUCUCCGAUUUGGGUUCGAGCUUAUCAGGUUGAAACUUUUUCACAUAAGCAUCGCAGCCCCAAACUUUAAGAAAUGACAACUUUGGUUUCUUGCCAAACCACAGUUCAUAAGGAGUCGUCUCAACGGAUUUAGAUGGUGCCCUAUUUAACGUGAAUGCAGCCGUCUCUAAAGCAUAACCCCAAAAUGAUAGCGGUAAAUCAGUAAGAGACAUCAUAGAUCGCACCAUAUCUAGUAAAGUACGAUUACGAUGUUCGGACACACCAUUACGCUGUGGUGUUCCAGGUGGCGUGAGUUGUGCAACUAUUCCGCAUUGUUUCAAAUAAAGACCAAACUCGUAACUCAAAUAUUCUCCUCCACGAUCAGAUCAUAGAAACUUUAUUUUCUUGUUAUGAUGAUUUUCCACUUCACUAUGAAAUUCUUUGAACUUUUCAAAUGUUUCAGACUUAUGUUUCAUCAAGUAGAUAUACCCAUAUCUGCUCAAAUCUUCUGUGAAGGUGAGAAAAUAAUGAUACACGCCGCAAGCAUCAAUAUUCAUCGGACCACAUACAUCAGUAUGUAUGAUUUCCAACAAAUCUGUUGUGUGACACCCCAAAAAUUUGGCCUUGUUUUAAUGAAUUAAUUUUUUUUUGCCAGGAAUUAAAACUUUGAAUUUCUGAGCUCCAUUUUUAUUUUUAAAUCAUUUCCUUCCCUGUUAUGAUGAGUUUUUCCCAGAGAGAAAACUUUCCAAAUAUGUCAUUGGACUUAUUUAAUCUGUCAAGAGAAACUUUCCCUUAUUUAAUAUAACUAAUUAAAUAAUUAAGUUGCUUGAUCUUUACUUUCUUGAAAAUGGUUUUUCAAGGUUAUAUGGCCAUAUUUGAACUAUAACCAUUGGAUAAAUUCACCUAAAAUUCUAACCAAAAAUUGGAGAUGUCAUGUGUUGUUUUUAAAUCACUUUUAUACUAAAAUAUCUUUUAUUUAUGUAAUAUUUUGAGCUCUGCAUCAAUUUUUCCUUCUCUGGUCCAGAGUGCAAUUUGCACUACAACCCUUUUAAAUAAUUCUUUAUAGCCUCCACCAAAAUUAUGGGAUAUUGGUAGUAGCAUAUGAUUCAACAUUAUGCAAAAACCUAGUGCUGUUCUUUGAAAAUUUUGAGUCAAUCAACCUCUUUUUCAUUCUGGUCCAGCCUUGUGAUUUCUACUGCAACCCUAUUUAAUUUUGCUCCAAAGAUCUUGUGUUUUCUCCUAAUUGUAGACAGCCCUACCAAACCCCUAAAUCCAGGAGCAUGCACCCAUUGGAUUAAUUUUGGUUCAUGAAAUAAUGUCAUUUAUUUCCUGUCCAGAAUUGUAGUUUUGCAAAACUUGCACUAACAAGUUUGUGCUUUUCACAAACUAACCUCACCACUCUCUCUUGCAUCUAAGGAGACCCUGAUCUGGAGGAUUUGGCCACCCCCAAGAAGAGCCUAGGUGCCUGUGGCAUUUUGUCAAACACCUGGAGAGCAUAGCCAGAUUUGGCAUGGAUUCAAGUUUACACUGUGAACUUGGUCGCCUGACCUAACAACCAUGCCCAUUCACCCUCUAUAUAACCCUAACCCAGCCCUGUUUCUUCCCAGCCUCAACCGCGACCUCUAGCAUGCCCUGGCAUUACGUCGAGCACGUCCCGUGCACGCCCGGAGCGCGAGCAGAGCGUGCGUUUGGCACGCGUUUUGCACGUGCCGCGCCCGAGCCGACGCGUCGCGCCCCUGGCCUUGCCUCCACUGCAGAGCCACGCCACGCACGUCCCUCCUCACCGCAACACGCCAAGCCGCCCCUCGCCACGUCCCCGACAGGCCAGGAGCUAGCCGCCACGGUCGCCGACAGCCCCUGCUCCGUUCAGCGCCGCCCAAGCCUCUUCCGCUCGCCACCUGGCCCCUGGAACAGCGCGAGCUCAUCCACGAGUGUGUCCGCUAGCGCUCGUUGCCGCCACGACGCCCUAGCUACAGAAUGGCGGUCGCCGGCGACCUUAUCCGCAGCCGCCGCAGAACCGCCUUGCCACGCCUAUAAAAGGAGGCCCCGAGCUUCCCCGAGCACGCAGGCAACCUCAGGCCACCCCAAUGGCGCUCCCCUACCCCACAUUCGACCCGGGGAGGCCUCCUUCCUCAUCUCCGGCAACUCCUGCCGCCGCCAUCGCCCCGGCCAAUCCGGCACCUCCAGUACCUCCCCCUCUCCGUUCGCUUCGCCAGGAACCUCCUCAUCCUCCCGUGAAACUAUCCACCUACUCAAUUUUGAUCGGGAACCACCGCAGCCCCAAUAUCACUUUGCCCCCGAAACCAUCUCCGCCGCGAAGCUCAUCGCCGGCAACUCCGUCCACGUCGGCGACCAUAGCGGGUACCCCCGAGUUCGUCUCGACCUCCUGAGCACGCCCAUGCACUCAGAUCACCGAGGGACGCUGCCAUUCGCCGGUGAGCCUCGCCGGAGCUCCGCCCCUGUUCGGUCAGGGGGAGACGACGCGCGCGUGGGCCAGUCAAACCUGACCAGUGGGCCAGGCGGGCCCACUGUCGGUGACUCACGCGGCAGCCACGCUGGAUAAGUGGAGGCGUAAAAGGCGCAAAUACGUCUUCUCUGUCCGAAAGCGUAAUCUCUUUUGAAACGUUUUCUUUUUCCUGAUUUUAUUAAAAACAGAUUUUUACCACAACUUUGACUGCCUAUAAUUUGUUAAAUAUAACUCCAAAUGAGUUGAUUCUUUUUCCUACCUUCCUCAAAUUUGGUCUAGUUUAUUUUAAGUUUUAUUUGAAAAUUUUCCAAACAACUUUUUGUACUGUUUUUGAAAUAUGUGUUCUUUGCAUAUUUUUGGAAAUAGGAUUUUUUGGGAGAGAAGGAAGCUUUCAAAAAAAAUUUGGAGAGCACCCCACCUCUCCACACCAUUAAAGGCAAGCAUUUUGAACCCUGGCAUAAUGUUUUGGUGUGUUAUUUGACACGUUUAUAACACCAUCUUAUUUCAGAGGACUUGUUAUUUUAUGUGACAUGAUCAUUUGCAUGGAAGCAUAUUAGUGAUUUCCUUGCUGUUGGAAAUGAAUAUAAAUGUGAUGGUAAUCAACCUCAUGUGCCUUGCAUGCAUGCCGGAAAGGAAUCCGGGAAAGCCUCGGCCUUGGGUAGGCGUGAGCUUAUCGCCGGUCCCCGUCAGGACGGUUAUGUCCGGUAUGGCAUGGUAAGGUAUAUUGAGUUGUGCUUUUGUUGAUUGAAAUAUAUGUGUUUACAUGUCUUGCAGGGAACUUAUAAACCUCCUGAGUCGACCGUAGACCGAGUCUUGUUUCCAGUAACCCCCAUACUUGAUAUGUACCCCCACUUGUCCCUGCCGCAGGUAGGGUAUGGUUCAGUAAGUCGUCAACCCCUUUCAAGCACACACCGUACAGAGAGGCCAUGGUGGAAGAUAUCGGUUGUAGCCGGUAGGCAUGCCACCUGGUCUGGGGGCAUGGGUGUUUCCGGUUGAGACCGAGAGGGGAGGCCACCCCUUAGAGCGCGCGAUAUAAAUUUGAUCCCAUGCUACGCGAGGUUGUAGCCUCCCCACUUAGAGUUUUGCUUAACAAGUGUCGUGGGUGAUUCCAGACACCGAUGAGUUAAGCUGGUGUGUGCAAAUUAGGCGUGUUUUCAACUAAAAGGCCGUAGACGGAAUUAGCCCCGAUGGACUAAAGGAAUCCGUUACUCGUGGGUAAAGAGUACACCCUCUGCAGAGAUUAAAACCUAUUCGAAUAGCCGUGUCCAUGGUUAAGGAUUACAGUCCGGGAUGGGUCAAGCGUUGGUCUUAGUGUCGGUCUUCGGAGGAGAGAUUAUUAAACCAGAACUUGGACCGUGACUUGUGACUUGUGAAGAUUAUGAUUAUUAUCUUGUGAUGGACUAACCCGUUGCAUUAUUUAUAUUAUCGAGUAUCCCUGGACGGUUCUACCUCCUGGAUAUUCAUUGUGAUUAUUUAUCUUGUAAGCCCUUUAUGUGGUGUCGCUCAGACGCCCGACUGUGGCAUUUCUUUUAAAGCCCUUUAUGUGGUGUCGCUCAGACGCCCGAUUGUGGCAUUUCUUUUAAAGCCCUUUAUGUGGUGUCGCUCAGACGCCCGACUGUGGCAUUUCUUUUAAAGCCCUUUAUGUGGUGUCGCUCAGACACCCGACUGUGGCAUUUCUUUUAAAGCCCUUUAUGUGGUGUCGCUCAGACGCCCGACUGUGGCAUUUCUUUUAAAGCCCUUUAUGUGGUGUCGCUCAGACACCCGACUGUGGCAUUUCUUUUAAGGCCCUUUAUGUGUCGCUCAGACGCCCGACUGCGGCAUUUUAUUCCCACUCUAUUACUGCUUAUUCAUGUUGCAUGAUAAUAACCUGCUUGCAUGCAUAAAAGAUGUUUUAUUUAUGACUGGCGAUGUGAUCAUAGAAUUUUUUUUCAGUGCAUGAUUAUCAAUUAUAUUAUACCUGUGUUCUAAAUGUUUGCGAGUACAUUCAAAGUACUCACUGGCUUGUCCCUGGCUAUCGUCUUGGCUAGAUUUCUGCUUGGAGAGGAGCGGGACGAUGACAACCUUGAGUCCUAAGCAACGGUGAUAGCAGCCUCGCGAAGAUAGGAGUUAACCUGGUCAGCUGUUCCUGUGGGAAAUGGAGUCCCAUAGACACUUAUGUCUCACAAACCGCUUCCGUCAUCAACCACUAGAAACCCAAUUGUUGUACUCACAGGCCAGAAUGGUCUUGUACUACAUAUUUUGUAUUUUGCUUGAGAUUUCUGUAUCAAGCUGGAGCCUCAUCAGCUAACAGUAAUCCUGGGGCUGAUGAGCACGACGGUCUUUUUCUGGAAAUUUAUACCCGGAAAAACCCGGUCGUGACAUGUUGCUCGCUCCAUAGUUCCGGAGAACGGCGUUUUAGUCAUCUUGCCCAUGAGGCACGGUUCGCAAGUACCAAGUGAUUCACAAUCAAGUGAUUCCAAAAGUCCAUUAGAAUGGAGUUUCUUCAUGCGCUUUAUACCAAUAUGACCUAAAUGGCAGUGCCACAAAUAAGUUGCACUAUCAUUAUCAACUCUGCAUCUUUUAGCUUCAAUACUAUGAAUAUGUGUAUCUCCACUAUCGAGAUUCAAAAAGAAUAGACCACUCUUUAGGAGUGCAUGACCAUAAAAGAUAUUAUUCAUAUAAAUAGAACAACCAUUAUUCUCUGAUUUAAAUGAAUAACCGUCUCGCAUCAAACAAGAUCCAGAUAUAAUGUUCAUUCUUAAUGCUGGCACCAAAUAACAAUUAUUCAGGUCUAAUACUAAUCCCGAAGGUAGAUGUAGAGGUAGCGUGCCGACUGCGAUCACAUCGACUUUGGAACCAUUUCCCACGCGCAUCGUCACCUCGUCCUUUGCCAAUCUUUGCUUAAUCCAUAGUCCCGGUUUCGAGUUGCAAAUAUUAGCAACAGAAUCAGUAUCAAAUACCCAGGCACUACUGCGAGAAUUAGUAAGGUACACAUCAAUAACAUGUAUAUCACAUAUACCUUUGUUCACGUUGCCAUCCUUCUUAUCCGGCAAAUACUUGGGGUAGUUCCUCUUCCAGUGACCAGUCUGUUUGCAGUAGAAGCACUCAGUCUCAGGCUUAGGUCCAGACUUGGGUUUCUUCUCUUGAGCAGCAACUUGUUUGCCGUUCUUCUUGAAGUUCCCUUUCUUCUUCCCUUUACCCUUUUUCUUGAAACUAGUGGUCUUGUUAACCAUCAACACUUGAUGCUCCUUCUUGAUUUCUACCUCCGCAGACUUUAGCAUUGCGAAGAGCUCGGGAAUAGUUUUAUUCAUCCCUUGCAUGUUAUAGUUCAUCACGAAGCUCUUGUAGCUUGGUGGCAGUGAUUGAAGAACUCUGUCAAUGACACUAUCAAGAUGAAGAUUAACUCCUAGUUGAGUCAAGUGGUUAUGGUACCCAGACAUUCUGAGUAUAUGUUCACUGACAAAACUAUUCUCCUCCAUCUUGCAGCUGUAUAACUUAUUGGAGACUUUAUAUCUCUCAAUCCGGGCAUUUGCUUGAAAUAUUAAUUUCAACUCCUAGAACAUCGCAUAUGCUCCAUGACGUUCAAAACGUCGUUGAAGUCCCGGUUCUAAGCCGUAAAGCAUGGCACACUGAACUAUCGAGUAGUCAUCAGCUUUGCUCUGCCAGACGUUCAUAACAUCUGGUGUUGCUCCUGCAGCAGGUUUGGCACUUAGCGGUGCUUCCAGGACGUAAUUCUUCUGUGCAGCAAUGAGGAUAAUCCUCAAGUUACGGACCCAGUCUGUGUAAUUGCUACCAUCAUCUUUCAACUUUGCUUUCUCAAGGAACGCAUUAAAAUUUAACGAAACAAUAGCACGGGCCAUCUAUCUACAACAAUAUAGACAUGCAAAAUACUAUUAGGUACUAAGUUCAUGAUAAAUUAAUGUUCAGUUAAUCAAAUUAUUAAAGAACUCCCAGUUAGAUAGACAUCCCUCUAAUCAUCUAAGUGAUCACGUGAUCCAUAUCAACUAAACCAUGUCCGAUCAUCACGUUAGAUGGAGUAGUUUUCAAUGGUGAACAUCAAUAUGUUGAUCAUAUCUUCUAUAUGAUUCACGCUCGACCUUUCGGUCUCCAGUGUUCCGAGGCCAUAUCUGCAUAUGCUAGGCUCGUCAAAUUUAACCCGAGUAUUCUACAUGUGCAAAACUGGCUUGCACCCGUUGUAUGUGAACGUAGAGCUUAUCACACCCGAUCAUCACGUGGUGUCUUGGCCCGACGAACUAUCGCAACAAUGCAUACUCAGGGAGAACACUUGUACCUUGAAAUUUAGUGAGAGAUCAUCUUAUAAUGCUACGGUCGAUCUAAGAAAAAUAAGAUGCAUAAAAGAUAAACAUCACAUGCAAUCAAUAUAAGUGAUAUGAUAUGGCCAUCAUCAUCUUGUGCUUGUGAUCUCCAUCUCUGAAGAACCGUCAUGAUCACCAUCGUCACCGGCGCGACACCUUGAUCUCCAUCGUAGCAUCAUUGUCGUCUCGCCAAAUAUUGCUUCUACGACUAUAGCUACCGCUUAGUGAUAAAGUGAAGCCAUUAUAGGGCGAUUGCAUUGCAUAUAAUAAAGCAACAACCAUAUGGCUCCUGCCAGUUUCCGAUAACUCGGUUACAAAACAUGAUCAUCUCAUACAACAAAAUAUAGUAUCAUGUCUUGACCAUAUCACAUCACAACAUGCCCUGCAAAAACAAGUUAGACGUCCUCUACUUUGUUGUUGCAAGUUUUACGUGGUUGCUAUGGGCUGAGCAAGAACCGUUCUUACCUACGCAUCAAAACCACAACGAUAGUUUGUCAAGUUAGUGAUGUUUUAACCUUCUCAAGGACCGGGCGUAGCCACACUCGAUUCAACUAAACUUGGAGAAACUGACACCCACCAGCCACCUGUGUGCAAAGCACGUCGGUAGAACCAGUCUCGCAUAAGCAUACGCGUAAUGUCGGUACGGGCCGCUUCAUCCAACAAUACCGCCGAACCAAAGUAUGAUAUGCUGGUAAGCAGUAUGACUUGUAUCGCCCACAACUCACUUGUGUUCUACUCGUGCAUACAACAUCUACGCAUAAACAGUCUCGGAUGCCACUGUUGGGGAACAUAGUAAUUUCAAAAAAAUUCCUACGCACAAGCAAGAUCAUGGUUAUGCAUAGAAAUGAGAGGGAACAGUAUCAUCCACGUACCCUCGUAGACUGUAAGCGGAAGCGUUAUGAGAACACGGUUGAUGUAGUCGGGCAUCUUCACGAUCCGACCGAUCCAAGUACCGAACGCACGACACCUCCGAGUUCAGCACACGUUCAUCUCGAUGACGUCCCACGAACUUCGAUCCAGCAGAGCUUCACGGGAGAGUUCCGUCAGCACGACGGCGUGUUGACGCUGAUGAUGUUGCUACCGACGCAGGGCUUCGCCUAAGCACCACUACGAUAUGAUCGAUGUGGAUUAUGGUGGAGGGGGCACUGCACACGUCUAAGGGAUCAAUGAUCAACUUGUGUGUCUAGAGGUGCCCCCUGCCCCCGUAUAUAAAGGAGCAAGGGGGGAGGCCGGCCGGCCCUCUAUGGCGCGCCAGGAGGAGGAGUCCUCCUCCUAGUAGGAGUAGGACUCCCCUCUUUCCUACUCCUACUAGGAGGGGGAAAGUAAGGGGGAGAGGGAGAAGGAAAGGUGUGCGCCGCCCCUCCUCUCCUAGUCCAAUUUGGACCAGAGGGGGAGGGGCGCGCGGCCUGCCCUAGGCCAGCCCUCUCUCUCUCCACUAAGGCCCAUAAGGCCCAUUAUUUCUCCCGGGGGGGGGGGGGGUUCCGGUAACCCUCCGACACUCCGGUUUUCUCCGAAAUCACCCGAAACACUUCCAGUGUCCGAAUAUAGUCGUCCAAUAUAUCGAUCUUUAAUUCUUUACGUCUCGACCAUUUCGAGACUCCUCGUCAUAUCCGUGAUCAUAUCCGGGACUCCGAACUACCUUCGGUACAUCAAAACACAAAAACUCAUAAUACCGAUCGUCACCGAACUUUAAGCGUGCGGACCCUACAGGUUCAAGAACUAUGUAGACAUGACCGAGACACGUCUCCGGUCAAUAACCAAUAGCGGAACCUGGAUGUUCAUAUUGGCUCCCACAUAUUCUACGAAGAUCUUUAUCGGUCAAACCGCAUAACAACAUACGUUGUUCCCUUUGUCAUCGAUAUGUUACUUGCCUGAGAUUCAAUCGUCGGUAUCUCAAUACCUAGUUCAAUCUCGUUACCGGCAAGUCUCUUUACUCGUUCUCUAAUGCAUCAUCCCGCAACUAACUCAUUAGUUAUAAUGCUUGCAAGGCUUAUAGUGAUGUGCAUUACCGAGUGAGCCCAGAGGUACCUCUCCGAUAAUCGGAGUGACAAAUCCUAAUCUUGAUCUAUGCCAACUCAACAAGUACCAUUGGAGACACCUGUAGAGCACCUUUAUAAUCACCCAGUUAUGUUGUGACAUUUGGUAGCACACAAAGUGUUCCUCUGGUAAUCGGGAGUUACAUAAUCUCAUAGUCAUAGGAACAUGUAUAAGUCAUGAAGAAAGCAAUAGCAGUAAACUAAAAUGAUCAAGUGCUAAGCUAAUUGAAUGGGUCAAGUCAAUCAUAUCAUUCUCCUAAUGAUGUGAUCCCAUUAAUCAAAUGACAACUCAUGUCUAUGGUUAGGAAACUUAACCAUCUUUGAUUAAUGAGCUAGUCAAGUAGAGGCAUACUAGUGACACUCUGUUUGUCUAUGUAUUCACACAUGUACUAAGUUUCCGGUUAAUACAGUUCUAGAAUGAAUAGUAAACAUUUAUCAUGAUAUGAGGAAAUAAAUAAUAACUUUAUUAUAGCCUCUAGGACAUAUUUCCUUCAGUAUCUUCACAACCCAUCAGUCUGGCCCAUAGCCAACAGGCCGGACGCCCGAGGACCCCUUAAUCCAGGACUCCCUCAGUAGCCCCUGAACCUAGCUUCAAUGACAAGGUAUCCGUCGCGUAGUGCUGUCUUCGGCAUUGCAAGGCGGGUUCCUCCUUCUGAACUCCAAAAUAGUCUUCGGACGAAUUGAUCGUGUCCGGACCUGUAACACACACCACACACAAUCGUAGAGAGAAUAUAAUAAUACACAUGUCCAAUCUGCUGACAACUUUCACAACAUGACAUCACGUCCAUCCGGUCAUAAUUCCGAACCAUUUUUUGCCUGCCGCUCCACGUUUCGAGACACGGUUACCAUUGACACAUCUUGUCAAAGUAGAGAUCGUGUUCCCUUAUUACGGGAUUCGCAUCAAUAUAGGCGUGGGUAACCCAACCGUGCCAUUUACACAACCCUUGGGAGCAGGCGAAUUUUGAGGCAAGUGGGGUGGCGUUCAAUAUUCACUGCCCUUAUAAGGAGAUAAGAUUCCCCCUUCUUCUCCCACGCCUUCUUCCUGCCUUUCCACUCUUGAGCUCCAGUACCCAAGUCCUCAUCCGUUUCCCACUCAAGAAAGCGCUCAACCAUGUCCGGAUCCGGAGGUCAAGGCAAGUGGAUGGCUUGCUCCGUCAGGGAGGAGGACAUCGCUGAGCUUCGGGCGGCCGAAAACCUAGCGAAGGAAAUCGCCCGCCUUCUUCCAGCCCAGGGACAAAUCAUUCCCACACCAAAGCCCGCCGAGAGGGUAGUGUUUCUCCCCCAUUUCCCCCGCGGGCUAGGGUUUCCACUCCACCCCUUCGUCCACAGGAUAAUGUUCUAUUAUGGGAUAGACUUCCACGAUCUAUCCUCGAACUCCUUCCUCAAUAUCUCGGCAUUUAUCGUCAUGUGCGAGGCCUUCCUCCACAUCCAACCCCACUUCGGGCUAUGGCUUAAAACCUUUAACGUGAAGCCCAAGGUGGUGGAUGGACAGCACGCAGAGUGCGGGGGCUCCAUGGUGAGAAAGCUUGCCAAUGUUCCUUGGCCAAAAGGCACAUUCAUGGAGUCUAUCAAGGAAUGGCAGAAACAAUGGUUCUAUAUCAUUGAACCCCGCGGUGCCACCUGGGCCGCGGCUGCCGCAUUCAACUCCGGCGCUCUCGUGCGAAUCACCUCCUGGGUCAAGAAGAGCCCGAAUUGGUGUUCGUCAGAUGAGCUGACCGCGCUACAAACACGCAUUCAAAGCAUGAUCGAUAAGGACAUCAAGCUUGUUGACGUAAUCCAAGUGAUGCUGGUGCGCCGGAUCCUCCCCUGUCAGAGCCGAAGCCGCCCACUAUGGGAUUUCAACCCGAAAAAGCACCACACCUUGGAAAGGCUCUUUGAAACAGAUCAUGAAGAUGCCUGGAAGUUGCUCUUCAAGGGAAACGAGAUACCGCCAGCCACAGAUUCGGACCCUCAUCACAACAUAAAUCACCUCCCCAACAAGGUAUGUUAUUUUCAACACAUCCCUUACUUGCUUGUUUCAAGGGUGACAUCUAAGCUUUUAUUAUCAUUGCUUUUUUAGUACUUGUUGAAGAAGGCGAAGCAGAUCCGGUGUCCGGCUCCCGUGCCUGAAGAACUAGUCAUCCCGCAUUUAGCAAAGAUGAUGGAGCCAACGCCUUAUAAGGCACCAGAAAAGAAGGCCACAAGAAAGGCCAAGGGGGUCCGGAGUGGACCCCGCCGCCGGGGUGCUUCGGACGCGACAUCUGAAGAUAAGACCCGCUCCUCCACCACAGAAGACGGCGACGAGGAAGAGGAGGGGAAGAACAAUCCUCCCCUAGAUGAGGGGAGGAAGAAAAGGGCGGCCUCGGCGAAUCUGGAGGCGGAGACAUCCAAGAAAGGGAAGAGGUCCCUUGCGGGUAACACCGCGUGGGACGCCGACAGUAGUCCGGAGAGACAUCCCCAUACUAAGCCACGGGCCGCAUUGUAAGUGCUCAAACCCAUAUCCACUCAUGAACCAAGUCUUUCCUCUUCGUUGUAUUUGAGAUGAUUGGUUAUAUUUUAUUGUAGUCCGGCCCACAACAACUCCCUGCGAUCCUCGCCAGGAGGCUCGCUGGAUUCCAAGGCGAUGGCCAGCAAUUCGCCGCCAGCCGCUCACUCCCCCAAGGCCAAGGAUGAUGUGGAUGUGCUGUCCCAAGGACGGUUCCAGGCGGGGGAGAGGCUCCGGAGGUGCCAGAAGGCAAAAACCCCGUCGCCGGACACCAAGGGGAAUCAAUUCCCAUGGAGGCUGGUGGGAAGGACCGAACUUAGUUUGACCCUCAGCCAGACUCAAUUCCAGAGACCGAGACUGCUCUGGAAUCCGGUACGCGACCUCCUUCGGAAGGAGGGGGAUGUCCGUUCCCCUGGUGACCCCUGUCCAACUAGGGGCACCGGAUAAUCUGCUGGAAGCACUGCGAGGCGCUUCCAUUGUGGAUGAACACCGUGUCCUCAUGGGCACGGUAAUUGAGCGGGUUCAGUCCGCCAAGAGUUGACUAACCAAAGCCUGCAGCAGCCUGUUAACAGGUUUUGAGGUAAGCGGCACAAAAAAGGAGAAAGUCCCAAUAUAGACAGUAGCCCUUGAUACACUGUCUGGUGUUCGAAAAGAAAAAACCGGAGAGAGGAUCAAUCUCCUAUUUUCAGAAACUAACGAUAUCUGCCUGAAAUGUAUGCGCAGGCAUCACUGUUGGCCGCGUCCUCGCGUACUACCGAAUUCUACUGAAGCAGAAACUGGCGGAGGCCGAGGAGGAGCUGGGCCGGGUGAAGAGGCAGCUCCAAGAAAAACAAGGUAAGUAAUAACCCGUUUUGAAUUCGAAAAAAGGUGGGAAAUGAUAUACAAUGAUCAAAAUAUCAUGAUGUGAACAGAGGCGACGACCGAGGUCGAGGCCCUGAAAGUGGCCCUGGUCGAAGCCGAAGGGAAGGCUGUCAAGGAGCAGGCCACCCGUAAGAGGCUCAAGGCCCGGGUCAACGAAGUCCAACAGGAGCUCCAGGAUGCGGUGGGGAAGUGCGAGACCUUGGAGCACAAUGCGUUGGCUCAAGAGGCCGAACUUGUCAAGGCUUGUAAGAGUGCGGAAGCGGCCCAGAUUGAAGCCCAAGACGCCCUCCAUGAGACCCAGGAGGCCAGGAUGGUCGUGGUGGGUAAGGCAUUCAAUAUGCAAAGCAUGAGUGUGAAGAGGAAAUAUCUUUUACUAACCCAGAUUCGGAGUUCUCCAGGGGCCUUUGCUGAUCUGCCACAUAGUGUGACCGACGCUGCGAAGUUCUUCCGAGCCGAAGAAGGGAGCUCCACCGAGAAGCUGUUCUGGACGCAAUAUUGCGCGCCCGAACAUCCGGUGUCCUUCAGCGAUCAGCUGAAAUAGCUGGUUGAGCUGCACAAGAUGGCCGAACUGGCCAUGAAAGAUAUGAUAAUCCGGCUGUGGCUAGCCAAAGCUAUUCCCAGCAGCUACUUCGGCCUCGUGAAGAAGCUGGUGGAUGCCUGUCCUUGGUUGGAUGUCAUCAAGCGGUCCGUCUGCAUGAAGGGUGCACGUCUGGCCUUCUCUUAUUGCAAAGUCUGGUGGGCGAAGCUGGACACUGUCAAGCUAGCGACCGGGGGGCCGCCGGAGGGCAAGGAGCACCGCACACCUGAACGAUGCUUCGGCGAUGUUUUAGAGGGGUCCCGCAUUGUUGCGGAUCACUGUUCGAAAGACAUUAUCUUUGAAUGAAUGUACUCGAGCUCCCUCUGCCUUGUAUAAAACAAGUUGUUUAUGCAAUAUGAUGCUUGUUAUGUUUUUAAAUUUUUACUUCCUGUGCGGCCGUGCUGUAUGAAAUCUGAGGGUUAACCAGUCGUCGGCUUCUGCCCCCAUGUAGGUAGUACGGGGGUGUUCGGGAUGGAAUAUAAACAAUCUUGAUCCUAUUAGAUGGUCCUUGAAGGAGUUGUUUAGCGCAAUGAACCAGGCAACCAGACUAUGCGGCUGUAACGUCCUCACUUAGCAAUAGGAGUACGACAAUAAAAACAUGGGUGCAGCCCCUAAUAUCCGAACUAGAGUGCCAUAGGCGCCUGAUUGGGAAGUACCGAUCCUUCGCAUAAUGCGGAAGAAAUCUCCAACGAUUUGCAACCUCCGAACAGCUGGCCGGCUCUCACCGCAUCAUGACAGUCAGUUUUCGGCUUUCUCUAUUGAGGUGCUCCUUUGGAUAAACCAAGGCACACUCACAGUAGUUCUCCCUUUACUACCUUAGCCGAUAGCGGAACGUAAGGUAGCAAGCACAGGAGCCGGGCAACCCAACUAUUGACCAAAUACAUGAUUCGAAGCCAAUGCAUAUAAUGCUAAAUUUGGGGUGCCGAACUAUACUUAUAAAAAGUGUUCGGACUUUUGUUGCCACAGUGUGGGGUGCUAUGCAGCCCCUGGCGAACAUGAAAACAUAUCAAAGUGUACGGGUGCUACCUGAUGGGGUUAUCCACAGGGGAGCUGAAAAAAAGAAAGAAAACAAAAAAGGUACGAAGGUAAAAAGCUGGAGUCCUAUAGCUCCAGCCGCAGACUGUUCUCACUGUAAUUUAAUUAGUAUGUCAAAGCACAUUGAUACAGGUAGUGCGAUAAGCAACAGGCUAUUUGACAUGACAAAACCAAGGGAGAGCUGCAUGCGGGUCCUGAAAAACAAGUAAAGUUAUAGUUAACGGAAUCACCUAAAAAGUCCCCCAUAUGUCUGCAUUUCUCGUCGUCUUGGUGUGUUGAUCCUUCAAAAGGACCGAUGAACAGGCCAUCAGAUGGUGCUUGUGGGAUUGAGACUUGAAAAGGAAACAAGUAAAAGUGGAAGUAUGUGUGUAUCUAAUGUCGGUUGAGCCGUACUACAGACCACAAGCUAGCUAUGCCUCCGUCGAUGCCCAUGGGAUUUUGAGUGUGUAGUUAUGUACGCGUGGCACAAAUGCCACCACUUGAUCUGAACUUCGAUGGAGGCUGGAUUGCUAGUCGAGCCGAGCUCUCCUGCUGCAGAGUAGUUCAGACCCUCUUAAUGGUAUCCGUGGGAUCGGCAGCCUAAUUAAGGUUCUGCUUGAGAAGGCCGCUCUGUACUUCUACUGCUAGGGCAGCUGUGUGCUCUUUUGUACGGAGGGAGCGUUCCGUAUUUCUGUUGACUGUUAUGAUGCCGCGUGGACCGGGCAUCUUGAGCUUGAGAUAAGCAUAGUGUGGUACCACAUUGAAUCGAGCAAAUGCUAGCCGCUGCAGAAGGGGACGAUAUCGAAGAUUAGCUCCUCGCUUCGGAAGUUGUCCAGAGAUCUGAAGACAACCUCUAGUGUGAUUGAGCCCGUACAACGGGCCUCUACACCUGGUAUGACUGCUUUGAAGGUAGUCCUAGUGGGCUUGAUCUAAGAUGGGUUAGUGCCCAUUUUUCGCGCUGUAUCCUAAUAGAGCAGAUUAAGGCUGCUACCUCCGUCCAUGAGGACACGAGUCAAGUGGAACCCAACAAUUAUUGGGUCUAGGACAAGUGCGGCCGAGCCACCGUGAGGAUACUGGUCGGAUGAUCCCGGCGAUCAAAGGUGAUCGGGCAUGACGACCAUGGAUUGAAUUUUGGGGCGACUGGCUCUAUCGCGUAGACGUCCCUGAGCGCACGCUUGCGCUCCCUCUUGGGGAUGUGGGUAGCGUAUAUCAUGUUCACCGUUUUGACCCGAGGGGGAAACUUCUUCUGUCCCCCUGUGUUCGGUUGCUGGGGCUCUUCGUCAUCGUCCUUGCUUUGUGAUCCUUUUUCCCUGUUCUCAGUGUUUAAUUUGCCGGCCUAUUUAAAAACCCAGCAAUCUCUAUUUGUAUGAUUGGGUGGCUUGUCUGGGGUGCCAUGAAUCUGGCACGGACGAUCAAGUAUGCGGUCCAAGCUGGAUGGGCCUAAAUUGUUCUUUUGGAACGGCUUCUUCCGCUGGCCGGACUUAGAGCCCCUGAAUCCGGCAUUGACUGCCAUGUCCUUGGUGUUAUCACUAUUGUUUCGACGGUUGUAUCUGUUGCGCUGAGACUUGUCUUUGCUAGUUCUAGCUUCAGGGGUACCGGCAUCUCUUGCAUUGUUUUUUCUAUGGGCCAACCAACUUUCCUCACCCGCACAAAAGCAGGUCAUGAGUGCCGUGAGGGCUUCCAUGGAUUUUGGCUUUUCUUGGCCAAGGUGGCGAGCGAGCCAUUCGUCGCGACUGCUAGAGCUUCGGCAUCCAGACAAUCAACGAUUUGGUUCUUUUUAGUUAAGAACCUUGUCCAGAAUUUCCUGGCGGACUCUUUGGGCUGUUGAACUAUAUGGCUUAAGUCAUCAGCGUCCGGAGGUCGAACAUAUGUACCUUGGAAGUUAUCGAGGAAGGCCUCUUCCAAGUCCUCCCAGCUGCCAAUAGAAUUUGCAUGCAGACUGUUGAGCCACUGCUGAGCUGGCCCCUUGAGUUUUAAAGGGAGGUAUUUGAUGGCGUGGAGGUCAUCGCCGCAGGCCAUAUGAAUGUGAAGAAUAAAAUCUUCGAUCCACACCGCGGGGUCCAUGGUUCCAUCGUAUGAUUCUAUAUUAACGGGUUUGAACCCUUCUGGAAAUUCAUGAUCUAGGACCUCAUCGGUGAAGCAAUGAGGGUGUGCAGCGCCUCUAUAUUGGGCCGUAUCGCGACGUAGCUCUGAUGGAGUCCGUCUGCGGUUUUCAUCCGCGCAUGACUAAAUUUGUCAUGUCCAAAUAGGUGGUUGUCGUCGCGUGUCGAGGCAUGUCCUCGCGAUCCAUAGAUUGAUCUAGUAUGUCCUGCUUUAUUGUUCAGGCUUUGCCGAAGGUCGUAUGUAUGACCGUGGGCUAAUUUACCUCUACCUGUGCGAUGAGGCGGGGCUGGAUGGUGUUCAUCGUGAGUUGCCGUUUUGUCCCGACCACCACGUGGUCGGUCAGCCGCUUUGUACAAUGGAGGUAUGUAUUCCGGCGCCUCCUUGUCGAACUGAGGUAGCAAUUUGAGCUUUGGGUAGCCUUUGGUUGGGUGCUUGAGGCCGUAUUCUUCGGCUGCUAGGACAUCAGUCUAUUUAUCAUUGAGCAGAUCUUUGUCAGCUUGAAGCUGCUGCUGCUUCUUUUUCAGGCUCCUUGCAGUGGCAAUUAGCUGGCGCUUAAAGCGCUCCUGCUCAAGAGGUUCCUCAGGCACGAUGAAAUCCUCGGUGCCAAGGCUCACCUCGUCCUCGGAGAGCGGAAGGUAAUUAUCGUCCUCCGAAUCUUCGUGGCAUGGCCUGUUUACCAGGGCUAGCCUUCCCAUCUUCCCGUUUAUCUUGUUCAUUAGCUGUUUCAACGGGGUCUUCAUUGUCUUCGACACCCUCCGGAGUGUUAUCUUCUCCUGUGCCAGUGUUGCUAUCUUUAUUGCGGCGUGAGUUAGAGCGGCGCCGCUGACGCCGGUGCUUGGAUUGUAUUUCGGAAGGUUUAUCCUCGGCUGGAUCUUCCUUGUCAUUGCCGCUGUUCUCCAUUGGUGCGUCCACCAUGUAUACAUCAUACGAGGAAGUGGCCGUCCAGCAUCCAGUGAACGGCAGGUUCUGGGCCUCUUCUUCUCCGGCAUCGUCGUCCAUACUGUCGAUGUCCUCGGAGUCGUAAUCAAGUUUGUUGGUCAAAUCCUCAACCGUGGCUAUGAAGUGGGUGCGGGUGGGAAACAAAAUUCUCCACCGUCAGCCCCUAGUUUGAGCUGAAUAUAGUUCGGCUGUGAGUCCUCUGCCAAGGACAGGUUUUUAAUGAGUUUAGCACAUCGCCCAAAGGCGAGUGCUGGAAGACGUCUACGACGCUGGAUUCGAAGAUCGACAAAUGAUCAAGCUCGGCGUCCGCAGGCUCACGUGGUUUGGAACUUUCGACCGGAUACGAGUCCGGAGUUCCACUGACAAAAACAUCGUGGGAGGUUGAGUCUAUGUGAGGCUCCAACGCCGUGGAAUCUGUGGCCUCCAUGGUGGGGUUGAUCCUCCCGUCCUUGGAUGGCGUAGCUUGCUCCGGAUCUAGGGCCAGAGUGGUUACAGGAGCAAUCUCCUGGGUGCGGCCAGAUGACAUAUUUAGGUCAUGAUCAUCGGGGGACCGGGAGCGGCUACCGCGGUCUCGAAUACGGCGAAGAUCAAGUCUCCACGGAUGUCCGUAAUGUAGUUCAAGCUCCCGAAUCUGACCUGAUGGCCAGGGUGUAGCUUUCGAUCUGCUCCAGAUGGCCAAGCGAAUUGGCCCGCAAUGCGAAGCCGCCGAAUAUGAAGAUCUGUUCGGGGAGGAAAGUUUCUCCUUGGACAGCGUCAUUAUUGACGAUUAAAGGGGCCAUCAAACCUUUUGGCGACAGCACAGUGGAACUCUCAAUGAAAGCACCAAUGUCGGUGUCAAAACCGGCGGAUCUCGGGUAGGGGUCACGAAUUGUGCGUCUAAGGUCGAUGGUAACAUGAGACAAGGGACACGAUGUUUACCCAGGUUUGGGCCCUCUCUAUGGAGGUAAUACCCUACAUCUUGCUUGAUUGAUAUUGAUGAAUAUGAGUGUUACAAGAGUUGAUCUGUCUCAAUAUCGUAAUGGCUAAACCAUAGAGGCCUAGCGUGUAUGGCUAUGAUAAUCAGCCUCCUCUAUCCGGACUAAGUCCUCCAGUUUAUAUAGACACCGGGAGGAUCUAGGGUUACAUAAGGUCGGUUACAAAAAAAGGAAUCUACAUAUUCAGCCGCCAAGCUCGCCUUCCACGCCAAGGAGAGUCCUAUCCGAACACGAGUACAGUCUUCGGUCUUUGUAUCUUCACAGCCCAUCAGUCCGGCCCAUAGCCAACAGGCCGGACACCCGAGGACCCCUUAAUCCAGGACUCCCUCACCCUUGCCCACGCCUGGGCUGAGGCCUCCCUCGCUGCCUUUUCGACUGCCACCCGAUCCCACCAGGCGACGCGCUCCGUGUCGGCGGGGUCCAGGUCGAGGUCCUCCGCGGGCUGGCCCUCCUCGCGCUCAAUGACGCUGCUCCGGAUCUUCCUCCAGAUGGCCUUGUUCCCAGACGCGGCCACCAUCGCCGCCAGAGCCAACUCGUGGGUCGACCUGUGCCGCGAAGACAACAUAAGUAGAAUGCAACCAAACAACGAGCGAAUGCCAGCAAGUUACACUUACCCGAUGGCUGUCAGGAUGGCCCAUGUCGGCGCCACAACUGGGGCAGCCCGAGCUUAUUCUUGGCGGCACCCUUGUCGCAGCCGGCUGGCCUCCGCCGUGCGCUUCGAGGAUGACCGCGGCGCCACCAUCUCCUUCCCGUGCGGCCGGCGCGCGACCACCGGCUCGCGUGACGAUCCGGUCCUGGUCGACUUCAUCAGCCGCCAUGGGGGAUCGAUGCUGCCGUCCCCUCCCAACGAUGGCGCUACACCGCCAACGCCCGUCAGGUCCUCCUCGCCAUUGUCCGGCUAGUCGCACAGGAGUUCUGGGUGCGGAGACUUACCCGCGUGGCGUGCCGCGCCGGCUUCGGCUCUAGCCGCCUACGUGUCGGCCGCCCCCUCAUUCUCGAUGAUGGACUUGCCUCCAUCUGAGUCGGGCAGAUCGUCCAGCAAGAUCUGCGCCCUCGUCCCGUCUCGGACCUGCUGGGUCGCAAAUAGCUACGGCUCUACCAUCACAUCAGGACGAAGAAACAAUCCAGACAUGGCAAAGAACGGGGACCAGGGACUCAUCGUCGGCGCCGGUCUGCUGGUUGUAGGGCGCCUUCCCGAAUUGCUAGCCGGCGGUCAACCCGGCCUUCGAGAUGCUAUUGACCCGGCUGAUGAUUUGAUUCGGCGUCAGCUCCCAGGUCAACAUCUGGGUGGGGUCGUGCUGGUCGCUCAUCUUGGCGAUCUUGUGCGCCCGACGCUGUAGCGGCAGCACCCAACGCACGAUGAAGGCGGCGAUGAGAUCCGUCCCAGUGAGCCCCUCGCAUGCCGUCAUCUCGACGAUCCAGCUGCAGAUAUCCGCAUCUCCCGGGUGGAUUCUUGGGCUAGUGGCCCCAGUUCGUUUUGGCAAGCGACGGCUCGUCGACGAACGGCGGCAGGUGAUAUGUCUCCAACGUAUCUAUGAAUUUGAUUGUUCCAUGCUAUUAUAUUAUCUAUUUUGGAUGUUUUAUAUGCAUUAAUACACUAUUUUAUAUUAUUUUUGGGACUAACUUAUUAACCUAGAGCCUAGUGCCAGUUUCUAUUUUUCCUUGUUUUUGAGCUUCACAAAAAAGGAAUACCAAACGGAAUAAAACCUUCGUGAUGAUUUUUCUUGGACCAGUAGACACCCAGGAGACUUGGAGUACAAGUGAGAAGAGCCACGAGGCAGCCACAAGGGUGGAGGGCGCGCCCCCUACCUUGUGGGCCCCUCGGUGACCCCCUGGCCUAGAUCUUCCUCCUAUAUAUUCACAUAUAUUCCCGAACCACCAGAAGCAUCCACGUAAACACUUUUCCACUGCCGCAACCUUCUGUUCCCGUGAGAUCCCAUCUUGGGGCCUUUUCCGGCACCCUGCCGGAGGGGGAUUCGAUCAUAGAGGGCUUCUACAUCAACUCUAUUGCCUUUCCGAUGAAGCGUGAGUAGUUUACCUCAGAUCUACGGGUCCAUAGCUAGUAGUUAGAUGGCUUCUUCUCUCUCUUUGAUUUGCAAUACCAUGUUCUCCUCAAUGUUCUUGGAGAUCUAUCUGAUGUAAUCUUCUUUUGCGGUGUGUUUGUCGAGAUAUGAUGAAUUGUGGAUUUAUGAUCAGCUUAUCUAUGAAUAUAAUUUGAAUCAUCUUUGAAUUCUUUUAUGCAUGAUCUGAUAUCUUUGUAAUUCUCUUCGAACUAUCGGUUUAGUUUGACCAACUAUAUUGGUUUUUCUUGCAAUGGGAGAAGUGCUUAGCUUUGGGUUCAAUAUUGCAGUGUCCUGCUACCUCUUGAGCACUGCGUUGGUUUUCCCCGAAGAGGAAGGGAUGAUGCAACAAAGUAUCGUAAGUAUUUCCCUCAGUUUUUGAGAAACAAGGUAUCAAUCCAGUAGGAGGCUACGCGCGAGUCCCUCGUACCUACACAAAACAAAUAAAUCCUCGCAACCAACGCAAAUAGGGGUUGUCAAUCCCUAUAAGGCCACUUACGAGAGCGUGAUCUGAUAGAUAUGAUAAAGAUAAUAUUUUUGGUAUUUUUGUGAUAAAGAUGCAAAGUAAAAUAAAGGCAAAGUAAAUAGCAAAGGAAAUAACUAAGUAGUAGGAGAUUAAUAUGAUAAAGAUAGACCCGGGGGCCAUAGGUUUCACUAGUGGUUUCUCUCGAGAGUAUAAGUAUCUACGGUGGGUGAACAAAUUACUGUUGAGCAAUUGACAGAAUUGAGCAUAGUUAUGAGAAUAUCUAGGCAUGAUCAUGUAUAUAGGCAUCACGUCCGAGACAAGUAGACCGACUCCUGCCUGCAUCUACUACUAUUACUCCACUCAUCGACCGCUAUCCAGCAUGCAUCUAGAGUAUUAAGUUAAAAACAGAGUAACGCCUUAAGCAAGAUGACAUGAUGUAGAGGAAUAAAUUCAUGCAAUAUGAUAAAUACCCCAUCUUGUUAUCCUCGAUGGCAAAAAUACAAUACGUGCCUUGCAACUCUUUCUGUCACUGAGUAAGGACACCGCAAGAUUGAACCCAAAGCUAAGCACUUCUCCCAUGCAAGAACUACCAAUCUAGUUGGCCAAACCAAACGGAUAAUUCGAAGAUCCUUGUAAAGAUAACUCAAUCAUACAUAAAAGAAUUCAGAGAAGAUUCAAAUAUUAUUCAUAGAUGACAUGAUGUAGAGGGAUAGACUCAUGCAAUAUGAAGAAAACCCCAUCUUGUUAUCCUCGAUGGCAACAAUAAAAUACGUGCCUUGCUGCCCCUACUGUCACUGGGAAAGGACACUGCAAGAUUGAACCCAAAGCUAAGCACUUCUCCCAUUGCAAGAAAGAUCAAUCUAGUAGGCCAAACCAAACUGAUAAUUCGAAGAGACUUGCAAAGAUAACCAAUCAUACAUAAAAGAAUUCAGAGAAGAUUCAAAUAUUAUUCAUAGAUAGACUUGAUCAUAAACCCACAAUUCAUCGGUCUCAACAAACACAUCGCAAAAAGAAGAUUACAUCGAAUAGAUCUCCACAAGAGAGGGGGAGAACAUUGUAUUGAGAUCCAUAAAGAGAGAAGAAGCCAUCUAGCUACUAACUAUGGACCCGUAGGUCUGAAGUAAACUACUCACACUUCAUCAGAGAGGCUAUGGUGUUGAUGUAGAAGCCCUCCGUGAUCGAUGCCCCCUCCGGUGGAGCUCCGGAAUAGGCCCCAAGAUGGGAUCUCGUGGAUACAGAAAGUUACGGCGGUGGAAUUAGGGUUUUGGCUCUGUAUCUGAUCGUUUGUGGGUACGUAGGCAUAUAUAUGAGGAAGGAGUACGUCGGUGGAGCAACAGGGGGCCCACGAGGGUGGAGGGCGCGCCUGGUGGGGGUGGGCGCGCCCCCCUACCUCGUGGCCUCCUCUCUUGUGCCUUGACGUAGGGUCCAAGUCUCCUGGGUCUUAUUCGUUGAGAAAAUCACGUUCCCGAAGGUUUCAUUCCGUUUGGACUUCGUUUGAUAUUCCUUUUCUUCGAAACCCUAAAACAGGCAAAAAACAGCAAUUCUGGGCUGGGCCUCCGAUUAAUAGGUUAGUCCCAAAAAUAGUAUAAAAGUGGAUAAUAAAGCCCAGUAAUGUCCAAAACAGUAGAUAAUAUAGCAUGGAGCAAUCAAAAAUAAUAGAUACGUUGGAGACAUAUCAACCAUCCCCAAGCUUAAUUCCUGCUCGUCCUCGAGUAGAUAAAUGAUAAAAACAGAAUUUUUGAUGCGGAGUGCUACUUGGCAUAAUUUUAAUGUAAUUCUUCUUAAUUGUGGUAUGAAUAUUCAGAUCCGAAAGAUUCAAGACAAAAGUUCAUAUUGACAUAAAAAAAA